UUUUUUUUUUUUUUUUUUAGGUGUGUCCCGCAGGGAGUGGACCCCGCAGACUAUUCACCACCCUCAGCAACUUGCUGGCAGCAAGGUUCGAACCAGGGACCUGAGGCUCCAUCUUCAGCAAUCUCAACCAUCAGACCAAGCCCCUGAGGGCUCUAAUUUUUGUUUAGAUCAAUGGAUUGAAAACUAAUAAAAGAUAAAAUUCUCAAUUGUAUUUGUAAAAACUUAUUUCAGGUGCUUUUCAAGGUGCAAAAUGUUAGUUUCAUCAUGGUAAACUUUUUCAGGUGACUUUUAUGACUUCUUGAAAUUGUUUAGAAUUUCUAAAUUUUAUUAUAUUUCUAGUGCAUAUUGAUGACAUGGAAACUAUUAAAAGGUUCCCCAACCUUGUUAACUUCUUAUAAUUCUUAUUUAAAAAACCAUAUCAACCAAGUUUUUAAAAAUUAGGGAAUUAGCUUGGUUUGUUAUGAAAAUAAAAGGGUUCACAAGAAAAUGGCAAGAUUGGAAUGAAAACAUACUCUUUAUCCAAAAAAAAGUUUUUAAUAAUAUAUUUAGGAAUUUUUUAACAAUGUUAUCAAAAAAGUUAAAAUAAAAAAGGUAAGUGAUAAUUUUUAAAAUUAAGAGGUGCUAAGUGAUAUGAUAAUAAAAACUCAAGGGAGGUUUCUGAAAUUAUCCGAAAUAAAAGUCACAAAACAUUUUUUUAACUAAACUACAAAACAGUUAUACCUUCAAAAUAGCCCUAUUAUUUUUGUAUGCAGGCUUGUUUUGGACCUUUUAAUGUAGAACAAUAAUGUACAUCACCGGUUUAUCACCGCCUAUGACCUAUGCAGAGUGAUGACAUGGAACAAGGUUUACUUUCCCAUUUUUAACGAAUAAUGAUAUGGCAAUAAUUAUGUAGAAUAUAUAUCAAAUUAACAAAAUUCUAUACGGUCGUUCCGAUGGGUGCCAUUCCAGUACUCAUUAACAAAUCUAAAUUUCAUUUUAACUUACCAUACAUAUACAUAUACUGAUAAUUAUUAUCGUUUUUUGCAUUUAUAUAUUUUUUCUAUUUAAUAUUGCCUAUUCUUUCUUGUAUUUAUUUAUUUUUUCUAAUUAAUUUUAUAUCUCAAAAAUAUAACACACGAAAUAUAUCUUGACGAAUGCCUUAUUGUUAGACAGACCGAUUUUAUAAUGCAUAAUUAUUCUUUUCAAGCUUACCUUAUAUAAUAUCUAUACAAAAUCAAUUAAGGUUUGAUAUUUGUAAGUUUUCAAACUAAUAACUAGAUGUCAAUUUGGAAUGUUUCUAUCUUGUCUAAUCAUUGUUGUUAGUAUACUUGAAUGAUUAGCUCUUAUGCUACUAAAUUAGUGCAAGAUGAGGAAUACUAUAGUAAAGUUCAGCAUGAGUCUUCACUCAAGUUUGUAUAGUUUGUUUUUUAUAUUAAUAAUAUUUUUAACGGUUCCGUAAAAAAAAAAAUAGUAUACUCUAGAGCUAAUCAUUGUUACUUUCUGCCAAGGACCAAACAGAACACGUACAAUUAACUAAGGACCAAAUUUACUAAUGAGCUAAUCAUUGUUAUUUUGUCACUUUUUUUACAACUUGGAAAUGAAUUACAAGACUUGUCGAGUCUACUUGAAUUAAAGAUGCUUGUGGAGUUGCUUCAAAAAAAAGAUGCUCAUGGAGUUGGUGUGAAUUCAUGGACGAAAAAGGUGGCAUUGACUGUGAAUAAACGCAAAGCUAAUUGGAGUAGUUUUUAUACUCUGGAAAUGCUUUCCAUAUGUGUAUUAGAUAACUUGAUAAAAAUUGAAAAUUACUCAAAUACAAAUUUUUCUAAAUUAAAAAAUAUAUAAAUUCAAUUUCAUAAUACAAAUUUGUUUCCUUGAACUCAUUAAAUAGGCACUUUAUUCUCCUAUUUAAUAUUUUAAGGCAAAAGAACCCUUACUAUUUGAUUUUGUUUCUUUUGUAGUCACCCUUGUUUAUCUUUUCCACUACUUUCUUUUAUAUUUUAUUUUUCCAUUUUUUUACUAUUUUCUUUUCUUUUUACUUCUUUUAUACCACUAUUUUGUUUCACUUUCCUAUUGGUAUUACUAAUUCCAUGCUUAUUAUAAUAUUGUAAUUAUCUUUUAUUCAUGAUUUCAUUCUUGUUUUAGUUAUUGACAUUAUUAGAAAACAAAUAUAUGUUUGUCUUAAUCAAAAAGUGUAUAUCAUUAGCAAUUUUAUUAUUUAAAAAUAUAUUAGCAAACUAGAACUUUAAAUUACUUAAUAUUUAAAAGUAUAUUCCAAAAAAUAAGGUAACUAAUAUUUUUAUUUAAUUUUUUAUGUGUAGUUGAUUAAUUACUAUGACAUUACAAUGUGAAUUUGUUACUGUUGUUAAAAAUUAAUUUGUUCUAAAUAUGGCUUCGUGUAUUAAGGGGAAGCAUAAUACUUUUUUUUCGUCAAAAAAUUUAGAGAGUGCAGUAGGGCACUUGUCUCAUCUACUCUAACCCCAUAGAAACCCAAUUGGACUGCCCUUGCCGCGUAAAAAAUUUUUAAAAAAAUUUGCUGAUAGUUUUCUUUCCCCCAAUUUGGCUCUCUUUCUCUUCCAUGGUUUUUUUUUUUUCAACCACUCAUCUCUAGCUUCGUACCUUGUGCCGAAGAAAAGAUUAUCGAUAUUGUUCUUGUUUUUCUAUAUAUAUAUAUAUAUAUAUAUAUAUAUAUAUAUAUAUAUAUAUAUAUAUAUGUUCAUGAGAAUGAGGCUUGUUUCGGAAAGCACAAAAAAUCUGGAUUUGUUUGGAUAGAUUAUAAUUUGCAAAGAUAUUUUGAUUUUAUCGUAAACAUUUUGUCUCAAUUAUCUUUGUUUGGAUAGAUUAUUCUUUGCAAAGAUAUUUUGAUUUUAUCGUAAGCAUUUUGUCUCAAUUAUCUUUUUAUAUUCCCAACAACUACUUCUAUAUCUUACAUACAUCAUCGUAAAAAGUGAAACAGUAUUUUUUAGUAAAUAAUUUUCCUAGAUAACCUUUUAUCCAUAAUUUUGAUAAAUAAAACAUUCUUGUUGUUUUGAACUCCUAAAUAGUGUUUUGAUAGCAAAAAUAUCUCAAAUAAAAUUUCGUUUGUAUCAUAAAUAUAUUUUUUAACCCACUUUUUUAUAUUUUCAAUCACCUUUUUAUCUCACAUACAUCACAUCACAAAAAGUGUUACAGUAAUUAUUUCAAAUAAUAUUCUAUCCUUUGUUUGGAUAAAAUAUUAUUUGAAAUAUUAUUUGGAAUAAUUACUGUAGCACUUUUUGUGACGUGAUGUAUGUGAGAUAAAAAGGUAAUUGAGAAUAUAAAAAGAUGAGUUGGAAAAUGUGUUUAUGAUGCAAGUGAAAUAUUAUUUGAGAUAUUAUUAUUGGUACACAAUUUUCCCAAAUAACCUUUUAUCCAUAAUUUUGAUAAAUAAAAUGCUCUUUUUGUUUUGAACUCCAUAAAGAACACAUGAAUAAAAAAAAAAAAAAAAAAAAAGGCCGAAACUGACAGAUCUGGAUUGUACAUAGUGCCUUGCACUAGGCUUGUGCCCACCGAACGCCGCCUCCCUUAGCCCGAUCCCCAACUCUCAGCCUAUCAUUUGGGCUUAAUUGCAAGGUGCUUAACUUUUGUUUGCCAUCUUCCUUCCCCUAUCCGACUGUCUUCUCCUCUCCUCUGUGCGUGGGUGUUGUUUCUGCCUAGUCUUUCAUUCCUUGCCUGCUAAAGAGUAGAAACAAAUCAUUCUUUGAGUGUGGGGUGUUUUCGCGUAAUUGUAGUAGUAAUAGGGCAUGCUGAAUGAAGAUGAUGGCUCUGAAACUCAAUCCUCCUACAACCCACGCGUUUUCCUCCAAGGUGAAGCCACCUUAUCAGUUUUUCCUCUUCCUAUCUCAAGUGUAGUUUUAUUUAUUUUUUAUUAUUAUUUUAACUUUCCAGCCCUUUCCACACCCUUCUUACCUCCAACUGACAAAGUCAGGAAUCGAAUCUGAACCUGGCAGUGGAGAAAACUCUAAAAGCUGUCCCAUUUUCACUGGGCUAAGUGUAGUUUUACUUAAAUUGCUUUGCUUUGUUAUUUUCUUUUUCUCUGCAUUUCCUUCUCUAAAUUCUGAAGGAUAAAAUGGGCUCUUCCAAAGUCCUAUACUUUUUUCUUUGGUGGUUUAGUGUAAUCUAUGUCAAAUUUGAGAUACAUGGCACCAUGUGCAGUAGCUUUUCCUUUUCUUUUGCCUUCUUGGUUAAUUUAUAGGAACUUGAUAAGAAAUGUAUGAUGAGAGUAAUGCCAGCUGAUUACUGCACAGACUGUAAAUGUUGGGAUAGCUUGGUGGAAUUGUUUCAAUGUAUUGUCUGUGAUUUGUGAUACUUUGUUCGAGUUCUGAUUGGUUAAUUAGGAUUUUGUUCAGCUGCUAAGAGAUCACCUUUUAGUCUUCCUUGACCAUUUUUCCCCCCGGGGGGGGGGGGACAAAAAGCUUUUGGCCCCCAUUUUGUGCAGUUCCUAUGACAAGAGAUUGCACUGAAAUCCCACAUCCCUAAAUGACAAAACUUAUGUAUGUUCUCCUUGUGUUGGAAAAGCACAGCUUUUUUAUGUUUGGCAGUAAAUAACAGUUUUAAUUGGUGAUGCUCACAUGAGUAAGAUGACAGAACUUUUGGUUUUACAUUAAUCUUUCUCCUUGCUUGUUCCAUCAUUAGUAAUGUAUUAAUUCAAAUAAAAGAAGCGGCUCUGGAACAUCUUGUUCCUAUACCUCUAGCGUAGUCCAUUUGACAUAUAAAUGUGGCUUUUGGCUAUGAUAUCCUACACGUUACAUAGGGAUUUUUAUCAUGCAGACGGAUGGAAAAUUACAUUGUAAGUGUCAAGCCAAAAGGGAUAUGUAAAUUUACCCAGCCCCAAAUGUUGUGUGCAAUGAAUAUGAGUGCUGGAGAUUCAGGAGAGUCUGCAAAGCUGAAAUUUGAUAUGUUAUUGACAAGGGUAAACAACUCUGAGAUGGUUCUCUGCAACCUGUCAAGAGUUUCCCUCAUGAUAGAGCAUUUGACGGUUUCAUUGAGCUCAUUCUUUACACUACCUUAUCAGUUAUCAAAUACUUGUCUAUGCCUGCAUUUGCAGUUUCUUUCAUUUGCAAAUUGCCCUAGUUUGCCCUUGGGAAGAAACUAUAUUUUGUUUUUCUUCCAUUUCUUGUUGGUGCUGCUGUUGCUGGAUCUUGAGAACAGUAGCACUGGAGUCAUCUCCAUCUCUUAAGGUAAUUCUUUUAGGAUCCUGCUAGGUUGCUAUUCUUGAAAAGUGUACCUGGGAUCGCCGGAGAUAAUCAUGUUUGUUACUUGUUUCUUUCUUGACAAGUCCGCUAAGUAACAAUUUGCCAAUGAAAAAAGCGCAAAUUUGUAUGGCACUUGAGGAACAAUGUAGCUUUGGCAGUUGGGGCCUUUAUAAUCACAGUAAUGUUAAAGUAUGACUACUCCCAAAUUUCAAGGGUAAAGUGUAAUUAUCCCUUUCCUUUGGUAUCGUUGGAGUAGAUGACUAUUGAUUACUUGCAGGAAAGUGUAAUAUUAUGUAGUAAUAUAUUUUUUGUGUGUGUGUGUAUAUAUAUACUUCUGAGAUAAGUUAUAUUUGCAGGAUGAUAGGAAAUGUGCAACAGUUAGAAACCUUUGCAUCAGGGCUUCAGUGGCUUCGUCAGCACCACCACAAAGUUUGCAGGUUGCAGAAAAUAAAGCUCACAACAAGUCAGACAAAUUCCGAAUAGGUGUGCUUGGAGCUAGUGGUUAUACUGGUUCUGAGGUAUGCCAAAAUUCAUCUACAACCUUUUGUGUGUGUGUGUGUGUGUGGGGGGGGGAUGGUGGUGUUAUGGGGAAAGAGUGUGGGUGGCUAUAUAUUGGGGUAAAUGGUUUCUGGGUUUAUCCUUAUGGUUUGGAUGAAAUGAUGAAUUACUAGUGGAGAUGAAGAUUGGAGGCCAUUAAUGACUUUUGGGAGAAAGGAUGUUAAUAAUGAAAUGAGGUUGGCUAGUUAUCAAUGUUUCCUACUCAAUACUCCGCUUCAUAAAUAGCUGGAUGUUGAGAAUGUGCAAUGUUCGGUUUUUCCCCUUCUUGAUGAUGUUGCUGGAUAGGACAAUGUUGCCUGCUUUUCUAUGGUUACAUAGCUUUCUAUUGGUUCUUUUGUUCAUUUUAUGGAUGUUUUGGAAGAUAAACAUGCAUUAUUGUUUUCUAAACUGGCAGAUUGUCAGACUCCUUGCAAAUCAUCCACACUUUAAAAUCACACUAAUGACUGCGGACAGGAAAGCUGGUCAACCAAUCGGAUCAGUUUUUCCUCAUUUGGUUACACAGGCAUGUAUUUUUAUGAUUUCCCAAUCUGUCUUUUCUUGUGCUCUUUUAUAGCCCGUUUAUUGUGCGUCAUAGCCUUUAAAUGACAAAUCUGAAGUAAGCAAAAUAUUAAUAAACUUUUGUAGGAUUUGCCAGAUAUGGUUGCUGUUAAAGAUGCCGACUUUUCCAGUGUUGAUGCAGUAUUUUGUUGCUUGCCGCAUGGAACCACUCAGGUCUCUACAUUCUUGUCCAUCUCAUACAAUCACACUUGACACUAUCUAUGCUUUGGAUGCAAUGUACUUAUUGGGGUUAACAUCCGAUAUCUUUUCAAAUUUUACCAAUCGAAGAAUUAAGAUGCUGCUUGAUGAGCUCCUAGGGGUGUGCUCAUGUUUGGCUGAUUACUUUUUUUGCCAGGAAAUCAUUAAAGGUCUUCCAAUCAGUUUAAAAGUUGUUGAUCUCUCUGCGGUACAUUAACUGGUGAAUUCGUAGCAGUUUUGCAGUUCUGCUAUACUUCUAGUGGUUUAUUAUUACCCAUUUCUGCAUGAUGAUUGUGCAGGACUUUAGGCUACGAGAUAUUGGUGAAUAUGAGGAAUGGUAUGGUCAGCCUCACCAGGCACCAGAGUUGCAGGUUGGAUUUUUCUUUCUUGUUAUGUCAACUUCUAAGAGAACUUCUGCACGUAAGUAUUCAAUGACAUGUAUUACUCUGUGAAGCUUGUAAGAAUCAGGAGUGCAAUAUUUUCACUGCUUUGAUUUCUUGGUCAAGUUCCAUGUAGCGUUUCCUGACACUAAGUCUAUUUCUAACAUCAUUAUAAGUGUUUAAAGUACAAGUUUAGAUGUGAAAGACUACUGUUGCCUGGAUGCAGAAAAACGCUGUAUAUGGUUUGACUGAGAUUUCUAGGAAAGAAAUUCAAGGUGCACGCCUAGUUGCUAAUCCUGGAUGCUACCCGACUUCUAUUCAGCUUCCUCUUAUUCCAUUGUUAAAGGUUGGUUUGUGCUCGGAGCAUUUUAUUUCGUAUUGUGUUUCCAUUUACAAUUUAUUGCCAUAUUUCAAGAAUCAAAGAGCUAAAGUUUUCAAAGCAAAACGUAUAAGAAUAAAGCAUGCCUAAACUUUUCUUACUGUGAUGAAUGGACUGUGCUGCAUAGAAUAUAUGUCUGUCUGUCUAUCUAGGCAAUCUAAGCUUUGAAAAUUGUGGUUAGCAGAACAUCACUGACUAUUCUUGACUAACGGUCUGAAGAUCAAAUGCUGUAUUUUUAUUCUAGAUUAUUAGAAAUGGAAAGCUGAAUAGCCAAUUUUCUAUAGCUAUGGCCUUCAUAACUCGCAUAACAUAAUUUCUGUUAGUGCUCAUAUCACUGACUAUUCUUGACUAACGGUCUGAAGAUCAAAUGCAGUAUUUUUUUUUCUUCUAGAUUAUUAGAAAUGGAAAGCUGAAUAGUCAAUUUUCUAUAGAUAUGGUCUUCAUAACUUGCAUUAACAUAAUUUCUGUUAAUGCUCAUAUAUGCUUUUUUUUUUUCCUUUUGUGUAUAGGCUGAAUAUUUCCCGUUUAUGCUUAAUUAGUACUGAAGAAGAUCUUCUCUUAAAUUGCCUGAGUUAAGAGCGCGACAACUUGGCUUUUAACUUUCACAUGUUUUUCUGCAGUUUCCUACUUCUAGUAUUGUUCUUUGUUGCAGGCAGGUCUCAUUGAAGUCAAAAAUAUUAUUAUUGAUGCAAAAUCGGGUGUUAGCGGAGCUGGUUUGAACUGUUUUCACUGCCUUUUGUGGAUUCGUACUCUAUUCUACUUAAAGAGUAGUUCUUUAAAUUCUGAUACCUGGCUUGCUAUGUAGGACGUGGCGCAAAGGAGGCAAAUUUGUACACUGAAGUAGCAGAAGGAGUACAUUCUUAUGGCAUCACCAGGCAUCGGCAUGGUGAGCUAGGAUUCAUGGUAAAACAAUUUUGUUGGUGAUACACGAUUUGGUGCCUUUUAUUCAUGCCAUAAGUAGGAAGUUUUAUGUAAGGAUACAUAGACUUGACAUCGAGAUCAAUGACAUGGUUCCUAUUGUUCAUUUCCAGUUCCAGAGAUUGAACAAGGAUUAUCAGAUGCCUCAAACUCAAAAGUGACUGUUAGCUUUACUCCACAUUUAAUGCCAAUGGUAACCAUUUUGUAGUACUGUGUGUCCUUUACUUGCUAUCUUUUUCCAUUGACAACUAUGUUUUGGCAUUACUGUUGUAUCUUACAGAGCCGGGGUAUGCAAUCGACCAUGUAUGUGGAAAUGGCUCCUGGAGUGUCUACAAUGGAUUUGUACCAGCACUUAAAGAGCUUCUAUGAGGUACUUCAUUCUAUGAUUGGAAUUCCUAGGGUAUAGCAUUUGACCAACAUGGUCCCUAAACCCUUCUUCCUUAACUGCCUUCUUCCUGACUACCAAAAACUAGAAAAGAACGUAUAAAAAUAUCUUAGCAAUCAUUGUGAGUGGCAAUGGGCUUGCAACUGGCUUGAAGGACUGAGAACAUUUUUUUACUCAAAAUUAAGCCUUUUGUUGUACUGUGGGCUGUAUGGGUGUAAUCUGCCACACAGAGCCAACAGUAAAGUCCAGGUGAUUAAAUUGCCACAGAUUGUUCAUUCUUGGCAUUUGUAUGGGCAUAGAUUAGGUUGGGGAAUGUGGACAUUCCUUGUGUAUGGAGGUUUUUAAAGAUUUCCUUUAAAACACACGCAAAUGGCACACAAUUUUCAUUGUGCUCACUAGAAGAAUAUCUUUUAGCCGUUUUUGUCCUUUCCUGUAAAGAAUGGUUUGUAUCGAUAAGGCAUCCAUUUCCAAUUUCCAGGAUGAAGAAUUUGUAAUUUUGCUGAAGAAAAACGAAGUUCCUCAUACUCGACAUGUCAGGGGAUCCAACUACUGCCUUCUGAAUGUAUUCCCAGACCGAAUUCCAGGACGAGCAAUAAUUGUAUCUGUGGUAAGUGUUUUAAUUCUUGCCCCCCCUUUCCCUUCAUGAUUUUUGUUCAUCCGUUGAUGCUACUUUGACUGGAGGCCAUCUGCUGCAAUUAUUUUCAUUGGUUUUUAAUCAAAAUGCCCUGUUACAGAUUGAUAAUCUUGUAAAAGGAGCUUCUGGUCAGGCCCUGCAGAACCUUAAUUUGAUGAUGGGAAUUCCUGAGAACACUGGGCUCCUUUACCAGCCUCUGUUCCCUUGAAUUGUUUUUCCAUUUGAUUUUGAUGAUGAAGAAUAUAUAAAGUUGUAAUUCAUAUACUGUUCAUGUCAAAGGCAGCAUGGAUUUCAUAGUGUAUGAUCAGCCGAACUUUUCAAUCUAAGUUGGACAUCAAAACUAGAGUUUGUUAACGGGUUGGAUCGUUCAUGAAUAAUGCUCGACGGUCGACUCGACUUGUAUUAGAUCAAAUUUUGGUUUAACUUAUGUUCAAGUGUAUGCCAAAUAUUAGAUCAAACGGACACAAUGACUGGAUCCAACAAUGUUAAACGACUGCACCUGCCCAUACUUUUGACACAAACCAAUAUAAUUGACGUAAGGGAGGGGCUUGGACCUGCCUUGCCGUAGAAAUUUUUUGCGAUAUCUGAAUCUGGACGCAUUAUAUCUGCCCCAUGAAAACCUAGUAGGAUCAUUUGUAAAAGCUAAAGCAUGUGGAACAUACAAUCAUCUACAAAAAAGGCCUAUCCUGAUUAAAGAAAGUGACAGAACCAGCUUCGACUUUACCAACAAAAAAGCAAGAAGGCAAAGUAGCCGUAGUAACCGGUGGAGCCAGCAGAAUUGGGGAAGCAACAACGGCACAUCUUUCUGGUGAAAAUGCUGUGAAGGCUGUUGUAGUUGCUGAUAUCCAAGAUGACAAAGGCCGACUCGUCACUGAAUCCAUAUGUUCACACCGGUGUAGCAAUUUCUAUUGUGAUGUUAGUGAUGCAAAACAAGUCGAGCCCUUGGUGGAGUGGACAGUCCAAACCUACGGCCAGCUUGAUAUCAUGUUUAGUAACGCUGGCAUAGCAAGUCCCUCUGAUUAGACCAUACUUAACCUCAGUAUCUCACAAUUCAAUCGUUUGUUUGAUAUCAAUGCUCGUGGGAUGGCUGCCUGCGUAAAGCACGCUGCACGAGUAAUGGUGGAGCAAGCGGUGAAGGGGAACAUUGUUUGUACAACAAGUGUGGCAGCCAGCAGAGGAGUUACUUGGACUGAUUAUAUAAUGGCUAAGCAUGCAGUUCUUGGACUUGUCGGGUUCGCAAGUCAGCAGCUAUGGGUUCAUGGAAUUAGAGUAAACAGCGUUUCCACUUCUCGCAUUGCAAAGCCAUUGACAUCUAAUUGUGUGCUGAGGACAAGUGAAAAGGAUGUUGAGAAUGUAUACGGGCUGCUUACUAGCUUGAAGGGAGUUGUCUUGACAGUAGACUUUGCAGAAGCAGUGCUGUUGCAUUCAUCACUGGUCUUGAUUUGUCCGUGGAGGAGGAUUGUUUAGUCUCCCUGGUUCAAACAAUCGAUUGAUUCUGUUUGCAAAUGAAGUUGAUGUCAUGAUCUGUAUUGGGAUCUAAAUAUAUCUUGUGAUCGGUAUUUCAGAAAACCUUCUUUGUAUCAGCCAUAGUUUUGGUAUUAUUUUAUUAAUAGUUUAUCAUUAUUUUUUGGUUUCAAAAUAUUAAAAAAAUGUGUAUUCGGUAUUUUUAAUCAUUUAUUAACAUCAUGGUGAAAUGAAAUCCCACUUUAAGCAAAAUAUGAGUCCUCUCAUGUGGCAGAGGGUUUUCCUCUCUCUUGGGAAGAGAAUUGGUCCCCAUUGAUGGGAGUUCCAAUUUUUUUUUUAAAACCAGCCAAAAGCUUUCAAAUUUUAGCAAAAUGAACGAACUUCCAAAUACUAAAGUGCCCGGUAAAUCCAUUCAUCAGAUGUAAGAGCCUGAAUUCCAUAAAUUGUUAGAAGUCAAUGAGGUAGACAAAGUUAACGUAGAGAGAGUUAAGGAGGAACUUGGUAGUCAUACACCAUGAAGGGACCUACAAGAAAGCAUUAAAUAUGCUCAAAUCUUGGUAGGAAUCCACAAACAGAUUGAUUCUAGAGAAAGGUGCUGAGGUGAGUAAGUUUAUAGUUUUAUAAUCACUUGUUGCCUUCUCUCCAACCUUCCUUUCUUCCUCUCACAUUUUUUUUUUCUUUUCUUUAACUGUUUGUCUGUUUGAGUGAUUUUUUACCUAGAGAAUAUAUAUGCUUUUAGUUUUUCUUCCUAGAUCUAGCUAAAUUAGUAGUAUUCUAGGUAGUAAGGUAUACCACAAUUACCACUCAGUAGACAACAUGGUAGAAGAAUUAGAAGAAAUAAUGCAGAAAUUUGCACUUUCAAACAAGGAGAAAUGUGGUACUCAACUGGAUUUAGGAGAUGUGAACGAUGGCAUUUUAAAAUGUCAGGCAAGCCUUAAUGGGAAAAUAUGAGGUGAGAAAAGUAGCCAACUACAAAGGGUGAAUAACUUUGCCACAGUGGCUUGUAGCUACCCAAAGGGAUUGAAAGUUACAGAAUUGGGACCAAAUUUAUUUUAGUUCACCAUACUAGAUGAACAAGAGAAGGAGAGAAUAUUAGUAGGAGGUCCUUGGGUGAUUAGACAACCAAAUCCUAGUCUUUAGAGAGUGGGAAGCAGGUAUAGAAGAAAAUGAAACAGCUUUUAAUUUGGCUCCUUUGUGGGUGCAAAUUUGGAAUCUCGCAACAUGUUGGAUAUCAAAACCAGCAGGGAAGAAAAUUGGAGCAAUUUUUAAUGAGGUGAGGCAGGUUAUAAUACUACAAACAGCUGGAAAAAAAAGGAAAGCAUAUGAAGAUUCUGGUGUUGGCAGACAUCAGCCAACCUUUGUUGAGAGGGACUACUGUGUAGAUGAAUAGAGUGACCAAAUGGGUAUCCUUUAAAUAUGUGAAAUAUCCAAACUUCAACUAUAGUUGUGGAAUAGUAGGACACAGUGAGAGAAAUUGUAAGGAUCCUAUAGUUGUGAAGAAGGUCAAAACUAGAACCAAUAUGGUUCUUGGCUAAGGGCUAUGAGUGGUAAAGGAUCUCCACAAAAAGAAAGUAGUCAAAAACUUUGGACUCCUUGUAGACAUGUAUAGGGAGUGAAGGAUGAGGAACUGAUUAGAUGAGAGGAUUUGAAUAACCAAUCAAAAUAAUUAGAGACUAGGCAAGUAUAUGGGAAUAGUAGCAGGACAAACCAGAUAUUACGAAAGGUCCAGAAUCAAGCAAUAGAAGGUGAAACUCCUCCAUUGGUGAAUGGUAAGGAGAAUGAGAGGCAACAAAUAGAACAUAUGAAGGGAGACACAAAGGGAAAGGGGAAGGAGAAGGAGAAUGCCAGAACACGGGUGGCAAGAUCUAGAGAAGGAAGAACAAUUGAGACAUUCAAGGUACAAAAAGCAGAAUCCAUACAAAUGUAGGGGUCACAGGAAAUUAAGGAAGAGCAAGUGAGAGAAGAGGGGAAUAACAAUAUCAAGAUAGGAGUGGAAGGAACAGGUGGAAAGGAAGAUGUGGUAAGAAAUGAGGUUUUAAUCACAAUGGACAUUGAUAAGAAAGAGAACCAGGAUAGCAUUAACAAAGAAGGGAAGAAAGAAUGGCUCAAAGUUCAAAAAGAGAAAGAACACUAAAGGAUCUCAAUGGAAUCAAGAGGAAAUUACAACUCAUGGAUGAUCUCAAUGGAAUCAAGAGGAAAUUCCAACUCAUGGAUGAAAUUAUGACAGAAGUUGAGGGGCAAGACGCUCAAGUUAAGAAAAGCAAGAGAAACAUAAACAUGAAGGAAUGUAGUGAGAUACAAGAGGGGGAAUGGACUAGCCCUUAUUGGUCCCUAAAGAAUCAAUAAGAGCUGUGGUAUGGAUGUCAAGGUGUAGGGAGCCCCUUGAUAAUUUCCCACCUGAAGGAAGUGAAUGAGAUCCACUCCCCAAAUGUUAUCUUCUUGAGUGAAACUAAAAAUAAAGCCAAAUAUAUGGAGAAAGUUAAGAGGAUUUUGAAUUUUGAUAACUGCUUUGUGAUGAAGGCCAUGAACAGAUCUGAAGGAAUGACCUUGAUGUGGAAAAUAAAACCAGAAUUAAGGAAAUAUAUCACUCAACAUUCACAAUUGAAGCAUUGAUUAAAGAUGAAGAAAUGAAAAAUGAGUAGUGCAUUAUUGGUAUUUAUGCAAGAUGUGCUAAUCAAAUUAAAAGGAACCAGUGGAAAGUGAUCAAAAGAAGAAAAGAAUAAUGGGGUAGAAAUGGAUAAUCAUAGGGAUUUUAAUGAUUUGUGCUCUAAUGAGGAGAAGUAGGAUGGAAGAGUCAGAGAAAAGUAGAGCUUUAAUGAUUUUGACAAUUUAUCCAUGAUAAUCGUUUGGUAGACAUUAUUUAUGAAGAUAAUCCAUGGACUUGGUUUAAUUAUUGAGAGAAUGGGGAAAUAAAGCAAAGACUGGAUGGAGGUUAAGUAGUGGAGAAUGGACCACCUUGUUUGAGAAGCCAAAAGCACAUAUAUGCAAAGCAUGGCUUUUGAUCAUAGUAUGCUGAUAUUGCAAACAACCCUAGUGGUUCUCUUUUGACAAAAAAUGGACACAAAGAGAAGAAGUAUGGGAAAUUAUCAAAAUGUCUUGGGAUGAGAGAGUUGUGGGGUCUAGAAUGUUCAGACUAAUAAGGAAGACCGAGACAUGCAGAGUUGCACUGUUAAGAUGGAGGAAUAAUUAAUGCAUAUAAGAAGGAGGAGCAGUAUUGGGGCCAAAAGGCAAGACCGAAUUGCCUUAAAGAAGGAGAAAAGAAUAUGAAAUAUUUUUAUGCAGUUGUGAAAGGGAAAAGAAAGGAGAACAAAAUAGGGAAUAUACAAAAGGAAGAUGGCUUCCAGACAACUAAUGAGAAUAAGAUAGUUACUGAAGAGAAAUUACAAAGUACUACCAACAGUUAUUCACUUCUACAAGCCAUGUUAGUCUAGAUGUGAUACUAGAUGGUAUUUCUGAAACAAUUACUUCUUAGAUUAAUGAAAAUUUAACUAGACUUGUGGAAGAAAAUGAAAUAAAAUUUGCUAUAUUCUCUAUGAAUCCCAACAAGGCCCCAGGGCCUAAUGGGAUGGGUUCUCUCUUUUUUCAAAAAUACUGGAGUUUAAUCAAAGAGGAUAUGGUAAAAGCUAGUAAAAGUUUUUUUCAUUCUGGCCACAUGCUUAAAGCAUUGAAUCAUACUACCAUCUCCCUUAUUCCCAAAAUUGGCAUCCCUACUGAUCUAAAACACUAUGAACCUAUGAGCCUAUGUAAUGUGCUUUAUAAAGUCAUUUCUAAAGUUGUAACAAAUAGGAUCAAACCUAUGCUUGAAUGUUGCAUUAGUAAGAAUCAAUUAGCCUUCAUCCCAAACAUACAAAUUUUGGAUAACAUUAUUAUCUCCCAUGAGUGCAUGCAUUUCCUUAAAAACAAAAGACAAGGUAAGAAUGGUCAUAUAACUAUCAAACUUGAUAUGUGCAAUGCAUAUGACAGGGUGGAGUGGGGCUAUUUGAAAGUAAUGAUGGAAAAGAUGGGGUUUAAUGAGACUUGGGUGAACUAGAUCAUGAAUUGUAUCAAUUCUAUUUCAUCUCUUUUAACAUUUAUGGAGAAACAAAGGAAUAUCUUAACCAUUCCAGAGGAUUAAGGCAAGGUGAUCCUCUAUCACCUUACCUUUUUUGCUAUCCUCUGAAGGGUUCUUUAAUCUGUUAAGGAAAGCAACUGAUCAAGGACAGAUAAGUGGUCUAAGGAUAAGUAGAAACGGGUCAGCAGUUACUCAUCUUUUCUUUACUAAUGAUGCACUUAUCUUCUGCAAAGCAAACAAGAAGGAAACAAGGAAAUUGAUGGGAAUACUACACCAAUAUGAGCAGAAGUCUAGUCAAAUGAUCAAUUUGAAAAAGUAUCAAUCUUCUUUAGCAAGAAUGCUAAGGAAGAUAUCAAAGAGGAAAUUUGUGCAAUCAUGAGAGAUGUUCAACCAAUCAAGCAAGGUAAAUACCUAGGUCUUCCCAUGGUGGUUACAAGGACCAAAGAACAGGUGUUUGGAUUUAUAAGAGACAACAUCAAGAAUAGGCUGAACAACUAGAAAAACAGACUUCGCAGUACAAUAAGGAAAGAAGUGAUGCUAAAGGCCGUCACUAUGGCAAUGCCAACACUUGCAAUGUCAUGUUUCAAGCUAAUAGCAAAAUUAUGCAAAAAAAUUGUAAGGCUAAUAGCAAACUACCGGUAGGGAAAAAUAGGAGGGAGGAACAAAAUACACUGGUGUUUCUAGACUAAAAUAUAAAAAGAAAGGAAGAUUGGAGGACUUGGAUUCAAAAAUCUUCAAUGUUUUAAUAAAGCUCUUCUUGGAAAGCAAGUUUGGAGAUUGAUUCGAUACCCAAAUUCGUUGGUUAGCAAGAUUAUGAAAGCAAAAUACUUCCCCAAGAACUAUUCUUGAUUGUAAAGUCCCAAAAAAUUCAUCUUGGUUCUGGCAAAGUAUCAUGAUAGCAAGGGACAUUGUCAAGAAAGGAACAAUGAAGAGAGUAGGUAUAGGCAAGAUCAUCAAUAGCAGGAAAGACAAUUGGAUCCCUAGCAAUCCAAAUGGAAGGCCAACUACUAUGAGACCAGUGGAUUGGGAAAAGCAAAAAGUGGGGGAGCUGAUCACCAAUUCAAUAGGGUUGAUGUUGAGAAUAUUCUAAAGAUUCCAAUUAGUACUUCAAGAAGGACAAACAAACACCAUUGGAUGCACAAUAGGAAAGGGGAGUUCACUGUGAAAUCAUGCUAUAGAGGUCCGUUGAAGAAAGAGGAGGAGAAGCAACAAGAAGGAACAGAGGAGGCAGGAACAAGCUUUGAUGAUUCCAAUGCAUAGAUUUGGAAGGCUGUAUGGGGACUGAACACAAAGCACAAAAUCAAGAUCUUUAUUUGGAAGUAUAUCACAGAUACAUUGCCAGAAAGAGAGGUAAUAUUCAAGAGAAUAAAGCAAGGAUCUCUAAUUUGUGCAAGAUGUGGAGAGCAAUUGGAAACAGUAGAACAUACACUGUUUCACUACCAUCAAGCCAAGUAGACAUAGCAACUAGCACCAAUUCAGUAGGAUGGAGUUCAGAACCAAACUGACUAUUUCAGGAAAUGGUGGGUAUCAAUAGCUUAAGCAAGAAGGAGAAGGGAUGGCCAAAAACACUUGGCCCUGACUGCUAACAUCCUGUGGCAAAUUGGAAGGACAUAAAUGACAUAGAAUUCAAUGGCAAGCAAAAAGAAGGAAUUAGAAUAAUUCAACGAGCAAGUAGUAAACGGAUGCAUGGAGUAAGAAGAAAUUGUUAAAAAGAAGGAAAAUAGAAGCACAAUAGAAACAAGGGGAAGGAGGAAGGAAAUAGUAAAGUGGAGAAGGAAGGAAAUAGUGAAGGGGAUAAUACUGAACUCCAGGUAGCUACUGAAAACAACAAAAAGGCACAUAAGUUGAGAAUAGGAAUUGUAGCUAAGCAGAAUUGAGAUCAAAUUCUAGCAGAAUGCUAGUGGAGAGAAGCUCAAAACUAAAAGCAAAAAUGAGGGUGAAGCAAUAAGAUUAGCUCUGAUUAAAUUAAGAGAGUAGCAGUCGCAGCCGGUUAGAAUUAUAUGUGAAAAAAGGCAACUCAUUGCUUUGAUAAGUGCAAGAACAAGGAAAGACAUCCAAAUGUCUACAUUGGAGGUAGAUAUCAAUGCAUUAACUAGUUUGUUUCAAUUGUACUACUUUUUGUGUAGGAAUUUUUGAUAAUAUGGAUCUAUGUAAUAGAUUCAAUUCAAAUGCAUUAGGUAUAUUUAGAGAUAAGGAGAGAAUUUUUGCUACUCCUUAAAUGUCAAGGUACACUUUUGUAAAGAUGAUUGAACCGUUGCUCAAAUACUAUAAAAUUUAGUUAAUUCAAUAAAAUCCUCUAUCAUUUAAAAAAAAAAAAUCCUGCUUUGAAAAAUUACGAGGCAAUGAAAAGAUAUAUAUUAAACAUUACACCAAUUCAUUCAAUCAUGGUGGUGAGAAAUGUUGAAAAGAAACUCCAAAAUUUCAUAUUGGUUUAUUUUCUAUUGACCAUUAGAUUAAUCUUUAUUUCAUGCUCAAAGAUGGGAACUUGGGGCACUCUGGGUCUUGGGCCUUCAAAAUCUAAAAUUAAUAUUUAUGAUUAGGUUUUUCUAAUAGGUGCCUAUAGGGCACCCAUUAAUAUACCUAACAUUCAUCUAAAGUUCUAAACUAUCAUGUAUAUACACAUAUUAACAAUUAUUACAUUCUUUUGUAUUUCUAUAUUUUUCCUAUUUAAUCUUAUCUACCCGCUUUUAUAUUUAUAUACUUUCCUUAAUUAAUCUUACAUUUUCAAAAAUAUGAUAAUUGAAAUAUAUUUUAAUGACUGUACUAUAUGCACCUGCUAGACAGACCCUUUAUGACUUUAACAUAAAUAUUUUAACUAUUAGUAAUUAUUGAUAGGGGUUAAUUCUAAGGAGAUACAUCUUUUAUUAUAAAUGGCAAGGUCCUUGUCAAUUUAAAUGUAUCUAUGAUACUAAUUCAUUAAAGGCCUUUCGGAGUAUUAUAAAUAAAAGGAUUCAAAGAACAUUCAAUGACUUUUCACUCUUCUUCUCUUCUUGAUCAAAUGAAGUUCUAUGAAAUCAUUCCAAUUAGAGAUCUUGAAUUCAAAUUCCCGUGCCCUCUUACCAAUUUCUUAAGUUCCAUACUGUCUAUUGCUGAAAAAAAAAAGUAAGAUACGAUUCUUAUCCCAUUGGUUAUCUUUAGUAUUUGGCAUGUGCAUUAUCAUGAAAUAUUCUUUUUGUAAUGGACUAAAGUCACAUGUUUAUAGCUUCAAUCCAUACCCUAAUACAUUAAUGACUUGUACCACGAGCAUUGAUAACUUGUGUUAUUAGUGUUAAAAGUUACAUCAGAUUUGGAUUUAGGAUAUAGAGGUAUGAAUUUAGUAUCACCCUUUUUUUUAAUUGUGAUUAGUUAUGAUCAGUGCAAGAUAUAAAUAAUUCAUCGAUGAUGUUUUUACAUAUUAUUCAUAUUUACGUCAUGAAACUAUUGCAUUCCAACUAUUUAAUUCCCAUUUUAGUCUUUAAAGACUUAUAUAUGUUAAUUUAUUACAAUGUGAUAAUAUUCAUUAUAUAAUAUAAUGAUAAAAAAAAUAAAAUAAUAGGUAUUCUUUGGGGUAGUAUUUAAAUUUUCUCAUGAAUAUGAUUAUAAAACUAUUCAUAUUCAUUUUCAAUUCAAGAUGAAAAAAAAUGCAGCAACAUAUUUUUACACAAAUAUUUUAUUACUUUUUUUUAUCAAAUUUAAUAGAUUUACUAUGUAAUGAUUAAAUUUACACUAAUCAAAGUUACCAUAUAUAGAUAAAAAGAUUAAUUCAAUUUAUUAAAAAAAGAUAGAAGUUGUUAGAAAAAAGAUUACUUUUAAGUAAAAUUGAUUAGAAGAGAGUUAGAUGAAAAAUAGGUAAAUUCCAAGUAUUCAUUGACCCAUUAAUUCUCUUCAAUUAAAUGUGCCACUUGCGCAUGCACAUGCAUACAUACAUACAUAUAUAUAUAUAUAUAUAUAUAAGUGUGUACACGCACGCACGCACACGUGCACACACACACACAUAUAUAAAUAUUAUAUACACACAAUAUAUGUGUAUGUGUGUGUAUAUAAUUCAAGAAUUCAAGAAUCAAAUUUCAAUAUCCAUUUCCAAAACUAUUUUACUAAUUUUUAAAAAUUGGAUAUAAAUUAGUUUUUUUAAAAUUCGGUUUUACCAAUAUCUGAUAUCCGACCUAGGCUAGUUAUUCGGUUUUUUUUUCCUGAAAGUUGAACACCCCUAUUUUCAAACAUGAUUUUCUUCUUAUCUUUCUUUCAUCCACAUGUCCUAAUCUAAUUGAAAGUAAUUAUUAGUUUUUGAUUUGAUGGAAAAAAAGUAAGGGUUAAAAAAAUUUGGCCAAACCUAAGGUAGGUAAAAUGCAAGCAACACUUCUAUAUAUAUAAUAUCAAAUUAUCGAGAAACUCACCUAACUUUUGAAAUGAUAAGUUUUUGCUACUCAACUUUUAAGAACAUGAAGUUAUUCGCUCAACUCCUAAACAUGUAUAUUUUGAGUCAUUCGAUCUAUUUCACCAUCAAGUUGUCACAUCUAAGAAUUCUCAUAAAUCAUGGAACAUAAGCGAGAUUCAGAUGUAGAUUUGACAGUGAAAACAAAUAGAAGGACCCAAAACAUGUUUGGAAGUUGAAUUAAUAACUUCCAAAAAUAUGCAUGUUUGGAAGUUGAAUUAAUGACCCAAAAAUAUGCAUGUUUGGAAGUUGAAUUAAUAACUUCUUACUCUUAAAAUUUUUUUUUCCACUAGCAGCAACUUCUAACCUAGCCUAGCCUACUCCUACUCCUAAGGGGGGGGGGACUUACUUUUUUAAGGGAAGCGACUCUAGGGAAUGGGCCAAUUGAGUCGGGGGAAUCUGAUGGGGAUUUAACCACCAUCUGACCAGACGGGUGCACCACUCACCCGCAUGGAUUUAGAACACUCCUCAUAUUGAGGCACAUUGAUGAGAGGCAAGGUUUGAACCAUUGACCUCUCACCCCACUAUAUACAGUAGUGGCCAACUCCUUUAUUGGGAAUGGCCAAAACAUAUCAUUUCAAAAGUUUGAUACAUAACCGGAUGAUUUGCUCCAUUUACAAAUAUUCUCCUGCAAGCGCUCAUUUAGUCAUUUUGACCAAAUGGUAUUGGUUUCUUUGUACAGCAAGCACUAAAAAGCCCGAACGCCUUUUGUUUCUAAGUUAGGCCCAACAUCAAGACCCUAGCCCAAAUUUGGAUCCGAAAGCAAAAAACCCUUCUCCCUCGUUCGUCUGAAAAUGCAGAAGAAACGAACAGCUCUCCAAAAUAGUUUGUUUGGAUAGGAAGAAUUUGUGUGAUUUGGAUUGCAAAUUUGUUUUGUAUGAUUUGUAAUAUGUGAAGAUGUUUUGUUUUGGAUGUUUGUAAUUUGAAUUGUGGCAGUCCGGAGGGAGUACAAUUUAGUGCGUAAUUAUGAAAUUGUCAGGAAUGAAACAGAUUUCACUUCCUUAGUCAAAUUUUGGAGUGCGGUCCCACUACAGGAGAGAGAUGGAUUCUUGAAUGCUUUUGGCACUUCACCAGAGUGGUGUGUAUGGGCCAAUUAUAUGAAAUUGACCGGGUCCCACAGUUUCAAUUCACUUUACGAACGUGACAGGACAAUCCACGGCAAUUGGCAGCUGAUGAAUUGGCACCUGAUGAAUUUUUGUUGAGCUACUUUGCAGUGGUCAAAUUUAACAAUUCGGUUUCUGGGGGAAACCCAUCAAAUUUACAAAGGACGAUAUAUACUAUGAGUAACAUGAAAAAUCGGCCAGGUGCAGAGGAUUUCCACGUUCGGGCAAGUCUGUCCACCAUCUAUGGAGGAGAAUGCUGGAAUUCUCUAGUAUGCGCGGCCCAUGCCACACCCUGAUGAUUUCGGUUUUUUUUUUGUUUGCAAUCACCUAUAAUUCGCGGGACGGCUUAAAGCAUGAGUUAAACAAUUGACGCGUUGUUUUAUUUAAUUUGUAACUAUUAAACAAUUUUAAAAGAAUUAGGAAAGGUGUCUGAGUCGAGGAAAAUUUGCCCUAAGUUUUACAGCAACGCUUGUCUAGAGACCGACAUAUAAAACUCUUUACUUGCUGAUACAAAUAGCAAACGACAUGCAACAACUAUAUUUGGCACAUACGGGAUAUAGAAUUACAAAUAUAGAAUUACAACGACAGACAACAACCAUAUUUGGCAUCACAAGAUAUAUAGUUGGGCAUGACAAAUUAUUAAAGGUACACUUAUUACUGUAGGAGCCUCUAGCGAAUAUCAAAUCAUGGGUUCAACUGUUUCAUGCACGUUGUCGUCUAUUUCUAUAGGCAUUGAACAUAUGCGUCGCCAGUGUGUCUCUCAUGGCAAUCCAUUGCUCAACAACUUCAGGCGGAGAAUGCAAUGGCUGUAUCUCGGGAUAAGGAGGAAUUGCACCAUGAAUAUCUAGAUCUCCCUCCUCCGCGUCAGCAAAGUACAUAUCAUUCGGCUGUUGAUCCCUAAUGAAGUUAUGCACGGCACAACAAGCAAUAACUACAUUUAUCUGUGUUGUCAUCAUGUAGUUCGGAACGGCUCCCCUUAAAAUGGCAAAUCUCCUUUUUAGGACACCGAAACUACGCUCUAUGACAUUCCGUAGUGCAAAGUGCCGGUAAUUAAACAGCUCUUUCGCAGUUGCAAAUCUCCCCCUCCUGCGACCACUAACAUUAGCUUAGCGUCCCCUAUAUGGUGGUAAGAAAUCGGGCAAGUUUCGAUACGCGGAGUCAACCAAAUAAUAUUUUCCUAAGUCAAUUAUGAGAUACGACCGAAUUAGUUUUGACCAUUUCUAACUUUCGGAUCAUUCGUACAAUUUAUUGAAUAUCGGUACGAUUUGAUAAACAAUUUGAAGUGUCCAUUUACGCCAGAUUUUUCAAUUGAAAAAGGCAAAACAAAUAUACUUGCUAAGCCAAAUUUAAGACAGCAAUUUAAGAGAUCCAAUAUAUAUAUCAUUCGGUCUGCUAAGGAUUGGGAUAAAAAUAUGCAAUUGCUUUCCAAAUUUACGUGAAGGGAGGGAUUACUUGUAUUACCUGUAGGAGGCAUGGGGAAGUGAUUUGGGCCGGUCAAAGCCCCAUCUAAGACUCGGGCAUCAUGUGCACUUCUUUCCCAACCGGCAUACACGUACACAAAUCGCAUAUCAUGGUCGCACACAACCAAAAUAUUUUGCGAUUGUACACCGUGUCGAUUAGUGUAUGCCACUUGCUGUUCUCUUGGGGCAUAAGCAGGUAUAUGUGUCUCAUCAAUAGCUCCAACGCAGUCCUGAAAUUAUAAAUUAUUAAAAUGGACAUAUUGUGGUGAUUCAUUGAAAUGGAUCUGCAUUAAAAUGUCAUUAAAAAAAAACACUCCAGUGGCAUACUCUUCGUCCAUGUCACACCCAAAAUUUCUGACAGAAGACUUAUCUCUACUGCAGCGUCAAAACAAAUCUACCCAAUUUGUUUUUGACAUCAAGAAUCCCCCAAACGUUGAACAAAAGAUUUCCUGUAUCACUUUUUUGUUUUCUUUUCUGGCCAAAGUUCAUCAAACGCAUGGGAAUAGGUGAAAGGGCUAAAGAAGAAAAAAGUUCAGGUUCAAAGAGGGACAAGUGAGAAAGCUAUGAGGAUGCAUAAGAGGAAAAAGAAGGGUAUACAGUGUGAAAAAUUGGCAUUUAGUUCUAUUACGUGUGGAAAAAAAAGGCAUUUAACACUGUCAAGAAGGCUAUAGAGACAAUUCAUGAAGUAUAUUCAUAGAGUAAAAAAUAAGGCAUAUACUUGGAUAGAGAAGUAAAGUCAUCAAAAAGGGUAAUAGCUAUGGUUGAGUGUAAUUAGGAUAAUAGGGCCAACUAGUAGCCCCCAUUUGGUUUUAAAAUGAUGUGCUCAUCCUCCUAGUGUUGUUAGACAAAAUUUCAAGCCAAAAAUUCCACAACCAGGCGAAAACAAGAAAAGAUAUGGCAUUUCCUUAUUUUGUUAAUUAUUUGAUGACCUAAAAUAUUAAGGACAGAAUUACAUAUCCAACCAAUAACAAGUAGAAAUUCUUAACAACAACAUUAGGUGGUUCCCUUGACGUAAAUUAAAAUAUUCAUGUCUAUUUAUAAGCUAUGAACAUGAAUAAAUAAAAUAGUUGGGAGAUUAGAAUGUCACCAUACUUGAAAAAAAGAAUUUUAUAUAUAGAGGACAAAGCAUUUGGAACAAAGGAUUUUUUGAAUCAACGAGAUAGGAUUUUGAAUGUCACCGUACUUCAAACCAAGGAUAAAACCUCGUGUCAUUAAGAAUUUUCGGAUGAAUUUCAUCCUGCCAUCUUGGAGUAAUUGCGAAUUGCGCGAAGGUGCAUAGGCCCCGAAUGACUUCGUGAAUAUUUCGAUGCACUGUCUCCGUCGAAUGGUUAAAUCGAUCAGCAAUCAUACGCAUUCUCAUGUUGUGGCUCAUCAUGACCAAUGUCAUCGCAAGUGCCUCCUCUAUUGUAACCCUUUUCUGAUAAUUUUGGGGAACAAAUCCGCAUUCGGCCAAAAGUUGGCACAACCUCAUGAAAGAAUCAACGUUUAGCCUUGUUGCAUCUAUGAUCCGGGUAUGGUGGCCUGACAGUACUUCCUCAACCCAGUGUCGUCCUGACAGCGCAGACGUCCUGCAUGGCACCUUCUGGAUUGGACCUCCGUAUGGUUCUGCAUUUGGUCCAAAUAGCAGCGCAGCACCCGCAGCAAACAGAACAUCCUCUUCGUCCGAAGACGAGCUGGUCCCCUGCUCAUCCCCGAAUUCGCUCAUUUGGAACCUUUCCCACCAAAUAUGUUGCCAGGAACAAGUGCUUAGCCCAAAUAGAGGAUGCUAUAUGAGAGCUGUGUGAGGUCUGAAUUAUCACAUGCUCUCUUUCCUUUUUGUUAUUCUUAAGUUCCUUUUAAAGGCAUAGCAUAUUAUCGGACUAUGGUCUUUUUUGCAUGGGGUCCAAUGGCCUAACAUCACGUGAAUAAUUGUCUGCAAUUAUUUCACCGUGUCGAUAAGUCAUCUUUGGAUGCCAAAAAAAUGACCUGUAGGCAGCUUUUGCCAGGCACAAAUUGACGUGCGUUCUGGGAGUAUCUACUUUCUUGCUCCUCCCUUUUGGACUUUUGUGUAGAUGGUGGCCUUGCAUAAUGAAUAUGGUAACGUUUGAGUAUGUGCAGAGCUUCUCUACAUAUGCUUGACUCAUAUGUUGAAGAUCUUUUCAUUUAUAUGAAAAAUCGAGUAAAAAAAAAUAACACAUGACUUCAUUUGCUUUUGUUACAAAUCACUCGUGCUUCAUUUGCUAUUUUCUCCUGCGUACCAAGUCCUGACAUUUCAAGAGUUUUUUUUUCCAACCAGGAUAGGAACGAAAUCUCGUGGCAUCUAUAUUUGGCAGUAGAAGAGUAGUAUAUGAAAAUUGGCAAAGAAUGUAACCGGCAAUUGAGUAACCAUAAUUCCUUCCUUUGCCAGAGGCAUGAUAUGUAUAUAUGUAUUUGACUUCUCUACAUAUGCGAACCAAGUAUAUAUAUGUCAGACGGCAAGUCCGGCAAGCUCUCGUGUUUUACUCCUGUACAUAGCAAUCAAUCUGCAACUACUAGCUACUUAUUAAAUGUUUAAUACAAGAGUAACGAUAAUAUAUAUAACUCCAAGCCAAAGUUUUAAACGAAACAGUUCCAAUUCAUUCCACCGGGAAAAUGGCAACUCAACAUCGACAAAUUAUACAAACUAAAUAAUAUUUGGCAGUAGAUAGAAAAUCAAUUGCAUUGGUACCAAAAGUCCCAAACAAAUCUUUUUUCAAUGGUGAUUAGAGUCAAAUGAAAUAGCGCAAUUUCAUUCCAGUUUACUCAGUCGAAAGUAAGCUAAGCCGAAGGGACACAAGCAAGGCCAAGUGUAGUCUACUUUCCAUCGGGUCCCUUAGGAAGGGCACUCUGUAGAGUCUCCAACCAAAACUCUUGCAUCUCGCGACUGAGACUCAGGAAAGUCUUCCGCCACUUGUCAUCUUGGAGUGCCAAAACUACAGCCAGCUUCACCCCUUUGUCCAGCUCUUUGAACGAUUCCACGACCUGGGCUGCCAUUUCCGGUCCAAAUUUCUCCUUUUCAGAUUUUCGGCGACUCCUGAUAUGCAGCUUAGAUUUCGCUAGGGUGGAUAGCGAGUUGGCACACUCGACGAAUGGAUCAGACGUAGUUCUACUUGACUUGCUUCCCUGGGAUGCACUCGGGCCCGAGCUCGUUAUCCCUUGGCUGCUUGAACCUCGCUUCACUCCAGCAAUUGGAGCAUCUUCAUCGAAACCAGUCCCCUGCCUGGCAUUGUACAUUUCAUCUCCCAGGGGCGAUGAGAAAACCUGCCCAGAACUUUGCCCAACUCGUUUGCGUGGAUUGUAAAUUGAAGGCGGUACUGAAGAUGCUUAAGCUUGACUCCCUGUGGCGGUUUUUGCUUCAAAGACCUCGUGCAGGAUUGCGUAUUUGUCGACGCAUUGGCCGGAUCUAAAGUAUCCAUAAUCCUUGUUCUCCUGAAUCAAAGACAAAACAAGGACUGAGAAACAAGAGUAUACAAAUCUGAUGUAAACUGGUUUUUUUAAACUAGAGAGGACAACAGGUACAUUUCAAGAGUAGUAUAUGUUUCCUUAAUCAACUAAUAGAUAGAAUUUGAGUUCGACAAAAAUCCUUUUUUGGAACAGAAUUGUAGACAAAAUCACAAUAAUCCAGCCUUAACAUAUGAUAUGCACGCAUGCAGCUACACUGUCCAGAAGUAAGUUUCGCCACUUUUAAGAAUACUAUUAUAGAUUAGGUGACGAAUACUCAGAAAAAAAUGCAUGGUCACGACUUCUUUUGAGCACAAUUCGAAGAUGAAUCUGUCGUGACUUUAUUCUUUUACAGCCUAUUAUGGAAUAUGCAGUCUAACAUACAUCGAUACGCGAAAAAAUAUGUCAUGGACAGGUAACCGAAUAGUGAAUGAUGGCAAAAAGAAUUGGCCAAAGUUUUUAGUUCUGCUUUGGAACUGAAUUUUACGUCGAAAGGAAAAAAUACCAGGCACAAAUUGUUCCAUUGAGAGGGUUCUCCCAAGAAGCACCUCCUAUUCUCGUCCCAACCAAUACCAGUUUCGGAAGUUUGUCACAGACCCUUUAACUUGACAAAGCAGCGCCAAAUCUUCUUCAACCGUGCGAGUUUAGAAUGGUACACUGUCCAUGCAUAUUGCUUCCCCCAGGUGGCAUUCAAGUGCGCAGCAAGCUUCAUCCAAUUGGCCUCUGAUGCAACGUUUGGAUUUCACUCCCCACUCCGUUUCCACUCGACGAAUGUCAUACAGAAAUGAAUCUCCAUAUUUUCAUCCCAAUGGGCCUUUGCCGUGGUGUGGUCUCGUGGCAUCUGAAAAAAGGAAACCAAAUGGAUUGCUAAGCAUUAAUAACAAUCUGGUUGAAGGAAGAACAAUUGACAGAUUACAAGAUCAUGGCAAUUCAUCCUGUUUAUCAAAGCCACUGCAGCAAAGCAAGUGCAAAGCUAGAGUACGAAUUUCAAUGCCCACCGAAACAGAAAUACGGUUUAUCCAGUGAGACGAUCUCUAUAAAUUUGAACCCAUUAUAAUUCAUAGACAUGUUUUAAAUAUGGGACAAAGUGAUAAGAAUAUUAAGGCUUAAAAAAGCUGGUGUACAAGUACUCAUACAAACUAUAUUAUACGGUAACAAUUAUAGAGAUCAUGGUCGCAUACACCAAAUAGCAAUACUUAUCCAUGGACUCGGGAAUGGUUCGAGAUAAAAUCUAGUCUGCCUAAGAAUAUAAGAGCGCAGGUAAUUAGCUUUUACUACUCAAAAAUUUUUAUUUGGGAUUGAUGAAUGGACUGAUUUGAGAACAACGGCCAGUUAACUUGGAUAGAGUCCAAACUUACUCUGAAAUAGUUGAUAAGGGACUGGAUGUAGUCGUUCGAGUCUGUGACGGAGUGGACGGAUGAAGCUUCAGAAAGACGGGGUGGAGUAGUAGGGCCGGACAGUGAUCUCCUCCGCUUGUUGGGCAUUUACUGGUGCUAUACUUCGGUCAAAAGGUCAUGGCACGUAUGGACCUCAGACUAGAUCAUAAACCACCUGAGGAAUAUUUAUUGCAGCAGGCAGAUAUGCUUUUGUUACAUGUGGAGGUAAUAUCCGAGAAUGUCAAAUUAUUAUAAAGAAAGGAUCGGGAACUACUACUGGGUUUCAAAUAUUUCCCUAUGCAUCCAUUCGAUAUUUUGGAUCAGUUGGGAAACUAUUUUGUCGCUUUGUAAUUAUUAAUAUGGCCGGCAAUAGAAGGCAAAGUCUUCAAAACGUUAAAUGGAUAUAGUUGAGUGGAUUACAUAGAAGGCAAUAGAAGGCAAUAAGGGGUUGAGUGUGAAAUAUUGGGAUAUAGUUGUAACCAUCAAGUGUGAUAAAUGGAUUACAUCAACAACAAAGGCAUGAAGAAGCAUGACAGAUGAACAUUAGGGCAGCUAUAACCGAGGAAUAUUCUAACCUCUUCACUACUCUUUAUUGAAUUCAUCAUAAAACCAGAUGAGACCGAAGGAAAUGAAAGACAAAAGACAACCGGGGAAGUUUAGGGUAAAUGAGAAUCGCAUAAUAAAAGUUGUACCAGCAGCUUCAACCAAAAAGUAACGAGCACGGCAGAAUCAAAUAUGCUCACUGGUACUUCUAGGUGAUCGGGGAAUUAAUUUUAAAAUAUGAAAUUUUAACAUGAUUAGUAGAUCCUAUAUCCGGAUCUGAAUUAUAUAAAGGGAACCUAUUUGACAACAUCUAUGAAAUCGUAAGUCGUAAUUUUCUAGACUAUUAGUACGGAUACCAGCAAUAGCACCAACAUUUUUAGCAUUUUGAAGAUCGUAUGAAUGGCCUGAUAUAAAUUAAAGAAAAAAGGGCCCCAGAUUAAGAAGAAAACUGAAUUGGGAUGGCUUCCAAAUUGUCUCUUUUCUGUGAAUAUUUGGGAAUGUCCGAAUAUAUGCGUAAAGGAAAAAAUUUUGAAGGGCGGGUGAAUGUAUAUUGGGCAAACGAGGGAGGGGCUUUGGGAUAGAGACCUACAAAAUACACACUUAAGAAUCCCGGCCAAAUCAUGAAAUUGAGUCGCACAACCAUAUUACCAAUCUCAGACAGGAAAUGAUAAUAUCAAAAUUAUACCUGCCAAAUCUGAUUUUAACUUUAUACAAAUCUGGCCUUUAGAUUUUCCGCAAAAGAUUUCUGGAUUUCUGAUUUCUGCGUUCGGUAUCCACAACGCCGUCUGCGCCUAUGGCUUUUAAAAACCCAGACGAUCUCCUUCUUCGUUCAAACCCUUUAGAACAAACCAAGCGCUUAAUCAACCCACUGUGACAGCCAACCGAUUUCUGCAAAUAUAUUUCUUCGGUACUUGGUCGCACAAGCAAGUUAGGCAAUUUAAGAUUUUGGGGUGAAAUGCUUCUGCAGGAGGAGAGAGCUGCAUAGAGUAGUUUUGGGGGAGAAAAGAGUUAAACGAAGGUUUUGCAGGUCGUUUUAUUAGAAAGACCAACGAACGGAUCACGGGGCAGACAAAGCAUGGGUGUCUGGCCCUUGAUGGGAUAUUAAAUUCGCAUUUCUGACCAUUUCACGUGAAUGAAAGAAUUUCUCUUCCUUUAAAAACUUUUGUGGGGUCAACCAACGCCGCUAACCAAAACUUGUAGUCUGAGGUGUCCAAACAAGAAUUUCAAAAAUUAACUUGCUGUAGUAAAUUCCGCUAACCAAAAUUACUAUCCAAACAGAUUUAGAACACUCAUCCACAUGGAUUUAGAACACUCCUCAUAUUGAGGCACAUUAAUAGGAGGCAAGAUUUGAACCCUUGACCUCCCACCCCACUAUAUACAGUGGUGGCCAACUCCUUUAUUGGGAAUGGCCAAACCAUAUCAUUUCAAAAGUUUGAUACAUAACCGGAUGAUUUGCUCCAUUUACAAACAUUCUCCUGCAAGCGCUCAUUUAGUCAUUUUGACCAAAUGGUAUUGGUUUCUUGGUACAGCAAGCACUAAAAAGCCCGAACGCCUUUUGUUUCUAAGUUAGGCCCAACAUCAAGACCCCAGCCCAAAUUUGGAUCCGAAAGCAAAAAACCCUUCUCCCUCUUUCGUCUGAAAAUGCAGAAGAAACCAACAGCUCUCCAAAAUCUCUUUGAUUCUCUCUGAAAUAUUUUACCAACGAAUCAAAUGUAUUUUUCUUGUACUUAAUAUAUGUACUCAAAUAUACAACUGCAUAAUUAAAAUUAUUAAAAGUCUCAGGAAGCAAGAAAAAUUGCAUAGAAUUCAAAAAUGGCUCCAAAGCAGAAGCAGAUGAAGCCGACGCCGGCGGCGGCGACUCCGACAAUCGCGAUAGAGGAUCUUUUCACAUCUCUUGAUCGCCACAUCCAGCGGUCUGAGUUUAAUCAAGCCAUCAAAGUUGCAGAUCAAGGUGCAAUUUUUUCUCCUUUUUUCCUUUGUUGGUUAUGCAAUGCUGAUAUUUAUGGAACAUUUCGAACUUCGAUCUGUUUAUCAUUUUUUUAACUUUUGAUGCAGUGCUAUCGGUUGCACCUAGUGACGAGGAUGCUUUGCGAUGUAAAGUUGUGGCGUUGAUAAAAAAUGAUAAGAUCGAUCAAGCCUUGACGACAAUUCAGGAAUCUGCCAAGAAGUUUCCUGUGGAUUUUAGCUUUUUAAAGGUAAUUUAUUUGCAUUAUCCAGUUUGUCUAAAUUUUCCAGUGACUUCAGCUUCUUUUAGUGGGUGGAGUUGACAUAGCUCCCAGUACGAUUUAUUUGUUGUAUGUAUUUGUAUUGCAUUUGUUUCGAUCAAUCUAAAAUAAUUUCUUUGCUCUUAUGUCCCAUCGAUCUAAUUACUAGACUUUUCAUGAAUUUCAAUCUGAACUUGGUAUCUAUUGAAAGAAAAGCAUAAAAUCAAUCCAGGAAAAAGGAUGUGGGCUACAUUUUAAUAAAAUCAUUAGCAAACAUUCCGAAGAAGUAAUUGAUUGAACCAGAAACAGGAGCUCCACAGGCACUUCUCGAAUUUCUAAAAGGAAUAGUAAACUUCACCAAUUUUUAUGGCCUCAACCAUAAUAUAAAAUGGAAGUUGAUAAAGUAUAAUUCAAGUUCUUAAAAUUAUAAAACAAGUGGUGAAUAUGCAAUAUGUGACUUGCCUGAGGGAGAUUCCUCUUAUGUGUGGUAUCUCCUUAGACAACCAGUCCACUAUGUCUAUGCCACUUUUCAUAGAAAGUGUGUAUACACGUAACAAAACGACUUCUUUUCUUUUCAAAGAGGGAUUAAAAAAAUGUGACUUAAUUAAUUAGUGAGAAGAUGAAAUGAUGCAAAUGUUUAGUUCUAUGUUUUGGAAGGUUCAUAUAUAAGAAUUGGAUUCAGGAGCUACUUUUGAAUUGAUGCAGGGUAUUGGCCUUGCUUAAGGUUUUUUUUCCUCAGUUAAUUAGAUAUUUUGCUUCAUUUGCUCUUCUGUUUUGGAUGGGGUAAGUUUGAUGCUGUUAGUCUUGAUAUUCAAUGUCAUUCUAUAUAUAACGGAUUUUAAUUUCUUUCUGUUGAGUCCUGAAGAGAUGUCAUUCUAUAUACAGUGGAUUCUAAUUUUUUGCUGUUGAGUCCUGAAUAGUUAUAUGCUGAACUGCAGUUAACUGGAAAAGUUGGUCUUUAACUCUUUACUGUUCAAAAAACAUAACUUGCCAAUGUUGGCUUACUGUUAAUUUUAUUUAACCUGACGGUUUUAAACUUCUUAACAAUUUACUGGAGUGGCUGACUAUGCUUAUUACGUUACUUGUAACUUCUGGAAACGUUUAAACAACUUUGUUUUACCUGUAGAACAGAAGAAAUAGAUGACAAUUUCUGAUUGGCUAGAUUAACUUCCAUCUCAAUUUUUUCGGAGGAAGAGGGAAACUUGAUGGAAGAUCAGACAGUUUGUCGCGGGUCCAAGUUUACUUAGAUUGACUGCAUUUAGGAUGAUAAUGUCCUGUCUGUCUUCCUAAACUUUGUUGGCUUCAUAUUUACAUUUUUAAUAUGGAUAACGCAUAUUAGUAAAGACCACCUUGUGUGUCUUGCAUGAGCUAAUGACGCGAGUCUGCAUAAGUCAAUAUUUGGUGGUUGUUACAUUCAGCAUUGACAUGUAGUUUUAGGUAGCUUUGGUUAGAUGGGGAGGGGGUUAUUGGCCGGAGUAUAAACCUUUUCUCUUCCCCCUUUGGAGAAUAACUUGUAGGAUGAUAUACUUUGAGGUUAACUCAUAAUGUCAGAGUUUUUACUUAGAUACUCUGUCAGCCCGAUAGAUAAUUUGAUACCUUCAUUUCCGGUCCAACCUGAAACAAUAUUGUGAGUGCGUGAAUAAACAUGCCAAUCAUGUUACAUGCCUGCACAGGGCAAUCCUACAGUUUCUGGAAAGCAGCUCUAGAUAUUGGUGCCACUGACUUUUUUCUUUAUGAGAACAUUUCAACUCAUAGCAGUUAAUAUGAGGGUAGAAUUGAUAAUUUUGCACAAUCAGUAUGAUAAUUUAAUGAGAUUGAAGGAGUAAAAAUUGUUAAAACAUUACAAGAAAUACAGAUGGUAAUACUGUCUGCAAACUGAGUAUAUUUCUUGGCUUUUCCUUCAUUUGGAAAUUUUAAAUUUGAUCCUUCAUAUGUUUGUCACUUGGCUGAGCUGUACAAGUAACUGUUUGUUCUUCUUUCUCUUGUCCUUCUAUGUCUGUUCAGGAUUAUAUCCCAUAUUUAAUUGACAAAAGCAUUGCUUAUAAGCUGUAUAUUAUUGCAUAGAUUCUCUUAUAACAAUUCUAACAAGAUUUCACUGUUGUAUUUCCUCCUAACGGCUAACAGCCAAGUGAUUUAUCUCCUUUUAAUUCUCAGGAAUAGUUUUUUGCACUUGGUUCUUAUAGAUUAUCUGAGCAUGGGAUGUUCUUUGUGAACAUCAUUUUUUCUAAAGUGGCAACUUUCCAUUGAAAUUUUUAUGUUUUUAGAUAUUUCAAGAUUUUGUGGGUUCCACUGAACCGGGUUGAAUGUCUCUUGGAUUUGCCUAAUGUACUGAGAGCUUCAGUGAGUUGAGGCUGCACCUUUGCAUCGGGAAAUUAGAAAGAUUGUCAGUAGGGCUUUUUUUUUCUAUCUGGUUUAUGUUGAUUAGAUAAACAAGUGAUUCAAUUGAUGCACUAGGUAGAAUUUAGCCAUUUGAAAGUGAUUUCAUAUCUAGAGUAAGUAAUUAUAAUCAAGUUUCCGAGUCACAUCAAGGCCCUCCAUGUUCAUUAGUUUUUAACUCCUGGAGUGUUGUAACAGAGAUGCGGGUUGGGAAGCUGGUAAAAUCUCUAUGAUCUGGCAAGAAAAGGAAAUACAUAGAACCAUUUUAAGCAAGUCAAGCCAAUUUUAGGUGGAUACAUCUGCAAGUUCAAACCAAUGAGUACAGUUAAUUGUAGAAAUAGUGUUUUGCGUUAAACUUUGGGCCUUUAUUAUUCUUCCCUUUCUAUGUCCGAUUACUAUUGUAGCUGUCAAAAUUUGCCUACAUGUUUCCUUUACUUCAGACUUUUGCCAUCUUUGGUUCUGGCUGGGGGAGGCAUAAAACUUUAGAAUAGAGAAGCAGGUACACGAUGUUGUUAACUAGGUACCAUUUUAAAGAUAGAUGUUUGGUUGAUGAAGAAUUAUUUAAGAUAAUUGUGGGCUCAGUUAAACUGGGGAUAUUCUGCUUUCCUGGAAAGAGAGGAUGCUAAAUAUGUAAAAGGGACUGAGUCAAUGCUGUAAAUUACAAAUGAAUUUUGUGUAAUGCUUCACCUUUUUGCUUUUAGGUCUUGUUUUUCUGGUAGUACAUCUGUGAUAAAUCUUUUGUGUAGUUAUUUUUAGUAUGUGGAUGGACGAUGAUAUCUUUUUCCUUGUUCAGAUGGCAUUAUUAGCCCCCCCUUUUUUUUUUUUUCUAAAUUUUCAAUAUUCCUCUGAAGGUAGAUAUUGCCCUUUUUUACUGAUCCUUUUUUUUUGGCUUCUUCUCUUUGGAAAGGCAUACUGCUUGUAUAGGCAAAAUAAGCUGGAGGAAGCAUUGGAGUCCUUGAAAGGACUGGAAGGGAGUACUGAGACUAUGCUGUUAGAAUCUCAGAUUUUAUAUCGUCUGGGGAAAGUUGAUGCUUGUGUGGAUGUUUAUCAGAAGCUCCUUAAGUCCAAAAUUCAGUCAUUAGAAAUAAAUGUUAUAGCGGGUUUGGUUUCUGCUGGUAAAGCUAAUGAAGUGCAAGGAGUGAUGGACUCACUCAGAGUUAAAGCAACUAGCAGUUUUGAGUUGGCAUAUAACACAGCUUGCUCAUUGAUUGAAAGAGGCAAGUAUAAGGAUGCAGAGCAACUCCUGUUAUCAGCUAGAAGGUCAUGUCACUUUCUCAAUUCUGAAGCUCAUUUGCUCAAUUAGACAAUAGAGAGGGAAGUUGCUUCCAUGAGUCUAUAUUUUCUUUCCAUAUUUUAUGCCUUUAGAAGCUAGUUAUUUAUUGUCAGUGUGUUUGUGGAUCAAAAUCUGCUUUGACCUAAGUGGUAAAAUGAAGAUCUAGAGCUUAAGCAGGAUUGUCUAUCCCCUUUUAUUAGUUAUGAUAUCUUGUAUUUUAUGUCCCAAAUUAUUUGUCAUGGUUUAGAAGGGACAUAGAAAUAGACAAAUAUUCUAAUUUUGUCCUUCAUACAAUUCCAAAAGGAACAUUAGACUCAGUUUCCAAAUUAAAUGGAACAAACCAUUUUCACAUUUAAAAUUCCAAGAGCAACAAACAGUAUCUGAAUUUAGAUUGAGGGGCAAUCACAGAAAAAUUAUGUUGCUAGCCGGUCAAAUAAGAAGUGUGUAAAGUAGUGUGCUAAAUUAACCAUGACAAAUGAAAAGGAAAGGAGGGAUUAGUAAUGUUUAUAUUUUUCAAGCCAGACUAAAAUAUUCAUAUGUUAGUCUACCACUUGUUAAGCAAAUUUGCAAUACCAUUAUCAAGUUUUCUACACGAGUGAUGAAGAGACUGUAGCAGAGACCAUGAAACAUUGUAAAAUCUAGUUCUUUUUAUGCAUUUAAGAAAGUAAACUACCUUGCUUUUUGUGUUUGCACUGUCUUGAUGGUUAUGAUAGCAAUAAUCUUUUUCUUUUUUGUGGAUUUAUUGAUGCUUGUUUGGUAUGGAUGGAUAGUUUUGCUGUAAUGAUUUCUAUGGAUUGAGUGUAAAGAUGCCAAAGUUUGCUCUAAAUUCAUUUCGUCUGCAAAGAGAUGACAAGAUUUUGCUAAUCAUGGUUUCUAUGGGUUUACCUUUUUACUUGAGACUUCUUAAUGGGUGGACAUUUUGUUUAAAAUUGUCUACGGUAGGAAAUCACAAGGCUGUAUAUUGAUUUUUUUGUAACUGAGCCUUUUCUUCUUUGUAAUUGUUUCUAAACAGAUUAGAUGAGAUUUUGCUAAUCAUCCUUUCUAGUGGUUUAUCAAUUCACUUCAAAGCCUUUUUAAGGGUCUGUCUAUUUUAGGAAACAGUUUGCUGUAUCUGUAACUAUUUAAACUUUUAUGUGUUAAUGUUGCCAAAAUAGUUCCUGAUGUGUUCAUGAAAUUCUUUUGUUCGCAAAAGUAAAAUUGAAUUAGGUGCUGACUUAGAUUUGGUGACUUUUCAGGCUAAAAAAAGCAUACUGAUUUAUUUGACUUCUAGAUCAGGACUAAAAGUCAGAAAUCUGUCCUUUUUAUUAUUCAUACUUGCAGGACUCUUGAAAAUUUUGGCCAAACUGCUACCCCCAAAAUGUUUAAAUAUUGUGAAAACGUAUAGCACCAAUUAGCAAUUUCUCCUUUUGUACGCUUGCUUCUACCAAAUUUUUUAUCUGGUGUUGUAUUUUAUUGCCUUGUAUGUGUUGAUUAAGAUUUUGUCUUUCUUUCUUUAUUUCUUUUUAUAAGAGGUAUCCUUUUGAAGAAGCAAGUUCACUUGAAUUGGUUACCUUUCCUAUAUUAUCACCUACAUAGCUGCUCUAUAAUUUGUUAGCCAUUGGAGGCUGUAUAGGAGCUACAGUUGCAAUAUAAUUGAUAGUAUCUAUUAUGUUCUUGGAAUACUUUUAUUGUUGAGACUUCGUUGGCAUCGUUGUUUCUAGUGAUCCAUUUUCUUGAGAAGGUUUUUUGUUCCUUGAAUUCCCUUUAUUGCAGUUGCUUCUACAAAGUUGUCUCAUUUCUGCUUGUACUGGCUUGUAGGCUAGUGCAAAUAGCUUAACUUAUGCUGUAAAUAUUUUGGUGAACAAAUGAAGACACAACUCAUUAUAUGGCAUAAUUCUGUUACAGUAAAAUUUGUUUUUGGUUCACUGUUCCAGCAUCCAUUACUUGAAAUUAGGGUUAUGUGGAGUCAGCAGGUUUACUAUGUGGCUGAAUUUGAUAGUAUAGAGCAAGGUUAGCUAUACACCAAGUAUUGCUUGCGUUUGUUGUAAUUUAUGUUGCAGGGAAGGGAUAGAAUAUGCUGAGUUCUACUGUAGCUUUUGCCUGCAUUGAUUCUUGCAUAGUCAUUUAAGUCUUAUCUUCCUUACCUUGUACCAGCAUGCUGUGGCUUUGUGUAGCUUUCACUUCAUUUUUCAUCUGAUAUCGUGUUUACUUUAAGUACUUUGGGUUCCACUAAAUUUGUCCAUUCAUUUUCGCAGAAUUGGGCAAGAAACUCUAAUGGAUGAGAACUUUGCUGAUGAUGAGAUAGAAAAUGAGUUAGCACCUAUAGCUGUUCAAUUAGCAUAUGUUCAGCAAGUAAGAUGAUUUCUAGAGAAGUAUUUGAUUUUUCUGUGGUAGAGACAUCUAUUAAGGUAACUCGGUAUUCUCCAACAGAUGCUAGGAAACACACAAGACGCGCUUGUAUCUUAUACUGAUAUUAUCAAAAGAAACCUGGCAGAUGAAUCAUCGCUUGCUGUGGCAAUAAACAAUCUUAUUGCUUUGAAGGGUCCUAAAGAUGUGUCUGAUGGACUGAGAAAACUUGAUAGGCUAAUUGAGAAAGGUGAUGGAACACAAAGCUAUAAGCUUACUCAUGGACUUGACCUAAAGCUCUCAACAAUGCAAAGAGAGGCAUUAUACACUAACCGUAUGCUGCUACUGCUUCAUUCUAAUAAGUUGGAUCAGGUAACAUGUUUAGGAACUUGCAUUGAUCAGAUUCUUGUUAACAGCAUAAUGAAUUACACGUGUUGUUCAUUUAAUGGUUCCCCGAUCAUCUGUAUAACACAUAUUAGUUGAAAAACUGCAGGCUCGUGAACUAGUUACUGCGCUGCCUGGCAUGUUUCCUCUCAGUGUAAUGCCUGUUCUUCUUCAAGCUGCUGUGCAUGUGAGAGAAAAUAAGGCAGGCAAAGCUGAGGAAAUACUGGGGCAGUUCGCAGAAAAGUUCCCUGAGAAGUCCAAGGUUAUCCUGCUUGCAAGGGCACAGAUUGCAGCUGCUGCGGGUCACCCCCAAGUUGCUGCUGAGUCUUUGGCAAAAAUAGCUGAUAUCCAGCACAUGCCUGCCACUGUGGCCACGAUCGUGUCUCUCAAAGAACGAGCUGGAGAUAUUGAUGGUGCUGAGGCAGUGUUUGAUUCCUCAAUUAGAUGGUGGUCAAAUGCCAUGACUGAAGACAACAAGCUUGAUAUCAUCAUGCAAGAGGCUGCUGCUUUUAAGCUUAGGCAUGGGAGGAAAGAAGAGGCAGCACGCCUCUACGAGGAAUUGGUCAAAAGCCAUGGGAGUGUGGGAGCUUUGGUUGGCUUAGUCCAAACUGUUGCCCAUGUUGAUAUUGAAAAAGCGGAAACUUAUGAAAAGCAGCUUAAACCGCUACCUGGAUUAAAGGCAGUUGAUGUGGAUGGCUUAGAAAAAACUUCUGGAGCUAAGCCCGUUGAGAGCGGUCCCACUGCAGGUAUAGCUGAAGCAUAUGAUGCCAAAACCAAGGAGAAAACGAAGAAGAAGAGGAAGAGAAAGCCGAAGUACCCAAAAGGUUUCGACCCGGCAAAUCCAGGUCCUCCCCCAGAUCCUGAAAGGUGGCUACCUAAGAGGGAAAGAUCGAGUUACAGACCCAAAAGAAAGGACAAGCGAGCUGCUCAGAUUAGAGGUUCUCAGGGUGCAGUGGCUAAGGAGACGGCCACAAAUGUCAAUUCAAAAUCAACCCAAACUUCUAGUUCCAAAGGAUCUUCGCAGAAUGCUAAUGCUGAGCAAUCUAAACCCUCGUCCAAGUCAUCGAGGAGGAAGUCGCGUAACUAAUUGGAUCAACAGCUGCUGUUUCUUAGUUUUCGGGAGACUGGAAAAGUUUCCUGAUUUUGUAGUCUAUAUGAAUUAUGGUUAAAGAUUUUUUUUUUUCUGGCUGGAUCAUCAGCCUCUGCAACCUAGGAAUUCAUCAGGUCAUUCACCAGCUGUUGAUCUGCACUGGGCAGUUAAAAUUUGCUGCCAGGGCACUUUUUAUGUUACCUUUUAAUGAUUUUUGUUUUAUAUAUUUUUUUGAGCUCCUUUUUCUAAGGACUUGACUGCUGAAGAGAUUCAAUUCCCUCGUUUCCCAGUAAUUGGUUCUUCUUUUCAACUGUGAGCAAAAGGGUAGACAUAUUCAUUUGUCAAUGAAUCAAAUUCAUUUUAUACUAUAAAGGAACAACCUUAUAAUCAACAUUAAUUUUUCGUAAGCCAAUAACAAAUUAAUUUUCCAAACAACCAUCUGUGCUGAGUUGGAUAGUUCCUCUAUUAAGUUAACUUAUUUAGUUCCAAUUUCUUUAUUUACUUUCUUUUUCUAUCGUUGGGUUAAACAAAGCAAUCUCAAAUCACCUUCAUCAUGUAUCUCUCUUAGUUUGGAUUAAAAUCUUCAACAUUAGUUGGUUGAAAUCAAUUUAAUAGCAUCUUUUACUUUCUUCCUUAAAUAAAAUGACAUUAAUAUUUUAUGGUCUUCCAAUGACAAUUUCUUUGUUAAUAGUUCAUUAGAAUACAUUAUAAUACUACACAGGUGUUUAACUUUUGACCAACUUAAUAAGUAACUAAGCCUAGUAAUCUAAAACUUAUUUAGAUUAACUAUACUAGAAACCACUAUUUUGUUUGUGGAGGAAAGCAAAUCGAGUGCAAGUAGAAGAACAUUUUAAUGCACAUCACCCUAAUAUUGCUAGUUUUCGAGGAGAAGAGCUUUGCCCUAUCAUGAACACAUUUGUUCAUAAAUUAUUGACACUAUGAAAUGUUUUCAGUAAUUAGAGUCUACUAUGAGAGCUUAUCAAAUAAAUCAUUUUGAGCUUCGAAUAGAUAAAAUGUAACUAUGAUAAAAGUUCAAUGGGUUUAGUGCAUUUAACCCUAAUUUAAAAUUCCUCAAUUAACCUCUCGUUUCCUCAACUUUCAAAAUUAGGCAAGUAGUUUAAGACCUCACAUUUAUACAACUUUUGUUAAGCCACCAAAGAAGAGACCAUAAAUGCGACCAAUUUUAAUUACAAAAGAAAACUCUUAAUCACAAAAGAAAUGUACUAUGAUACGGUUAUAAGCACUAAAUAAAUGAAUCUAUUUAGAACUUUAUAACUUGACCAUAAAUGCGACCAAUUUUAACUUGUCUAUAGAAGACGGGUAUACAAAAUGCUAAGAAAGUUGGAAUAAAAGAUAUCGAUAAUUGUUCUCCUUUGAUUAAAUUAGACUAAUACCUAUAUUGGUAGAAUUUUUAUAGUACUUUAACUCUCCUUGCAAUAUUUCCAAAUUUAAACCCUAGGCUAUAAACUCAAUUUUUUUUUUUGUGAGAAAAUUUAAUUUUUCAUCCACAAGAGACUUGGUUGGAGGUAUUUCCUUGUUUACAUGUAAUAUCUAAACUAGAUGUCUGUUUACUUAAAUGAAUAACACGAAAAUAAGUCAUAAACGCUUAUAACCUGACCUUCUUGUGGCCUGAGUGCUACUCUUCAAAACAGAAAAAUCAACCUGUCAAUAACUUCCUUUCUCCCACAAUUUGGCAUGUGCCACCACCACUUAAUAUGUGUCAAGAACCAAUGACGUGUGUUAUAAUUUUGUUUGUCCAAUGCUGACUCAUCACUUUUCUUGACCAUAUGAAUAGCCUUUCCUCUUUUAUUUUAAACAUUAAUACUGAAAAAUCAUCCACACAAUUCUGUAAGAAAUGUGAGGAGAGUAAGCAAACAAGUGGAGAACUGAAGCAACAACAUCUAGAAAGCAAGAAGGACAAGGAGAUACCAAAUAGAGGUAAGUUUCGAGACAAGAACAUGCUAAAUUAUGCUGUGUAAAUAUUGCAUUCAUAUUACUACUAUAUGACUACUUGCAUAUUACACAUUGAGUGUACAGUUUUAGAUCUACAUCCAUAAUAGUAGAUAUGCUAGUCUCAUGUUAAAAUCAGAUCAAGUAAAAUUAAUAAUUGUUACUCUUAAAUGGUUAAAAACUACUAUAAAGCAUGCUUUUAUUUUGUUUAAAUGCUAUAUUGUCGUUUAAGAUGAAUAUGCUAAAUUGUCAUUUACUUGACCAGCAUAUUCUUGUUACCAUAAAUCUUACUGUGUACUUUAUCGCACUAUAAAGCGACUGAAUGAAUCGGCUUGUAACAACUCCAAGAAACUGUUGAACUUGUGUUUUUGACAAAUCUUUUUCAAGAAAAUUUGUAAUUGAUUGUCCAACAUGCUGCUCAGGAGUACAUUUUCCUUCAGAAAUUGAAUUUCUUGUUUUCCCAAAAUCAUUUUCUUUUCAGAAAUCAUGAUACCAUAUUGCUUAACAAUAUUAUGAAAAUCAAUAAGCAAUUGGAUGUGUUCUUCUCAAGUGUUACUGAAAAGAAAAAUGUCAUCAAUAUACACCAGUGCAGUGUGAAGAAUAGGCUGGAAAAUUUUUAUCAUGGCCUUUUAAAAAAGUGAAGGUGCCGUCUUUAGGCUAAAGGGCGUCACUUUCCACUGGAAGUGAUAAUUUGGAAUGCAAAAAUCAGUUUUAUGCCUAUCUUCUGGAUGUAUUUCCAACUAUCAAAAUCCAGAUUUAAGAUUUUCUUUUGAAAACUAUUUUGCUUUUGAAAUCUGGGCAAAUAAUGUAAAUCUGUUGGGAAUUGAAAAUUUGUCAUCCAGAAGAAAGAUGUUUAAAGGCAGAUAAUUAAUUACCAGUCUCAUCUUACCUGUUACCUGUUCAGAUCUUUUGUUGACAUAGAAACCUUGGCAUGCCCACUGGGAAUCAGAUCUUUCAAUAAGACCAAAUUUCAAAAGUUCAACACAUUCUUGCUCAGCUAUUUUAGAAUCUUCAAGAUUCAUUCCUGAAUGACUAGCUUUUGUGGGAUUUACAUCCUCAUUCUUUUUAAAAGGAAAUCGGAUAUAAAAAUCAGAAUUUUCCCACAAUGGAUGGUCACAUUUUUGUAAGAACUCUUGAUGAUUUGAGGCACAAGAUUCUUUAAUGAUUUGAUCUUGAAAUUCUUUGAGUUGUUCUUCAAGAGAGAGUACCUCAUCCUGGAUCAUGUACAACUUUGGGAUUUCUAUGAAAUUUUUAAAAAACUUUUUGGACAUAAUUCCAUAAGGCAUAACAAGAUAUUGAUUUGUUCUGCAAAGAUCAAAACCAAGAAUGAGAUCCUUUCCAGUAAAAUUUGCUCCUAAAAACUUUGCUUUGACUUGACAAUCUGGAAGAAACUUAAUGGUGAUAGGAUCUUUGGGGAAAAAUCCACUUUUCAUCCUCAAACUUUGUGACGAAGACACAUUUGGUUCCCAAACUUUUCGUCAGAAUACAUUGAGUACAUGAAUUAACGAUUUUUUGCCACAUUUAGUCAAAAAACGGGAAUUUACUCAAUUUGGACGGUGAAGACCACGUGGCUGUUAACAAAUGUCCAAAUAUCAAUUUAUAGCCAACACAAGUCAGACACAAGUCCACACUUGACUCUCUCUCUAACCCACUGCUUUUCCUCUCCAAGUUUCCCCUUUGCCCACCGAGUUAAUGAAGUGAAAAGUUGCUUGAGAUUAGCAGAGUUAAUGGAGUUAUUCAACAAAGUUUUUCCAAUCCAGUAUAUGUAAUAUAAAUUAAAUAAUUCAGAGUAAAAUGCUCAUAAAUAGCUAUUACUUUGUUCGUGUAAUAGAGGAAACCCAUAAAGAACUGAUAUGUUAUGGGCAAUUUUUUUUUUACUUUCACUUAUUUAAUUUGUGUUAAAUACAAAACCUACUAGUUUUCUUUUCGUAAAAAUAUUAGUAUAUCACUUUUUAAAUUUUACUUACAAACAUUUAUGUAUUUAACAUAAAUUAUAUGAUUCAGAUUAAAAUGCCUAUAAAUAACUAGUACUUUAUUCAUAUAAUAGAAGAAACUCGUAAAGAGCUAGUAAAAAAUGGGUAUUUCUUUUUUUACUUUCACGUAUUUAAUUUAUGUUAAAUAUAAAAUCUACUAGUUUUGUUUUCGUAAUAAUAUUAGUGUAACACUUUUUGAAUUUCACUUAUCAACGUUUAUGUAUUUAAUAUAAAUUAAAUGAUUCAAAGUAAAAUGCUCAUAAAUAACUAGUACUUUAUUCAAAAAAUGGAAGAAACUCAUAAAGAACUGGUAUGUUAUGGACAAUUUUUUUUACUUUCAAAUAUUUCAUUUAUAUUAAAUACAAAACAUGCUAGUUUUUUUUUCGUAAAAAUAUUUGUGUAACGGCUUUUGAAUUUUAUUUGCAAAUAUUUAUGUAUUUAACAUAAAUUAAAUGAUUCAGAAUAAAAUGCCCAUAAAAACCUGGUACUUGGUUCAUGUAAUAGAGAAAAAUCAUAAAGAGUUGGUACUUUAGGGGAUAUUUCUUUUUUAAAAAAUAUUUAAUUUAUGUUAAAUAGAUAACCUACUAGUUUUUUUCGUAAGAAAUUACUGUAACACUUUUUGAAUUUUACUUAAAAAUAUUUAUAUAUUUAUUAUAAAUUGAAUGUUUGAGAGUAAAAUGUCCACAAAAGCUAGUAUUUUGAAUAGGUAAUGUCCAUUAAGUAAGAACUUAAAAUAAUACCAAAAUGGACAACUUGUUCAAGGAAUUGUGUAAUGUCCACAAAAAGCUGACUUGUGUUGGUUAUAAAUUGAUAUUUGAACAUUUGUUAACGGCCACGUGGUUUUCACCGUCCAAAUUGAGUAAAUUCCCAUUUUUUUGACUAAAUGUGACAAAAAAUCGUUAAUUCAUACACUCAAUGUGUUCUGACAAAAAGUUUAGGGACCAAAUGUGUCUUGGUCACAAAGUUUGAGGAUGAAAAGUGGAUUUUUCCCGGAUCUUUGGUUAUAAACUUUGUUUGAAAAAGCUCACCAUUAGCUACUCUAAAAUAAUGAAUUUCAUGAAUCCAACAUUCAUCAGGUAGAAUUUUUUUUUUCAUGAUUGACAAGGAUGCAUCUGAAUCAAAAAAAGCAAUUACAGGAAUUGAUUUGCAGUACUUAUCCAAAAGAAUAUGAACAAGGGUCUGAGGAUAAGUUUUCCCUAGUACUUCUUUACUAUUGGGGGAAAUAGUAAAGAUUUCAUCAGGAACUUGCAAAGCCAAAAGAGUAUGGUCAGUUUCAUUUUCUUGCUCAGAAAAUUCACAUUCUAAAUCAGAAACUGAAAUUUAAAUUCAUUCUUAAUUUCUGAAAUUAAUUUUACUCCCUUUUGAUUUUGAGGACAUUGUUUUGCAAAAUAUCCUGGCUUUCCACGGAUGUAACAUCUAUUGCCUUUUCUUUCUCUGAACUUCUUUUCCUUCCUUUUAAAAUAUUUCCAUCUUUUGCGGAAGGUUUUCUUGGGAUAACUUUUAUUGAAGCUUCUGAAUCUUUUGAAUUUUUUCCUUCUUUUGUGUGGAGCACAAGCUUGACAUUUCCCUUUUGUAAUCAAUUUUGACUUUUUACAAGAUUGAUCUAAGCAAACAUCUCCUUUUAUAUAUUCUCUGAUAACUUUUCUUUUAUUGCAAAGAUCAUUCAGAGAUAAGAGAACUGCCUGCUUAAUUUGUCCUGUAGACAAAUUUUAGAUGGAUCCAUAUUUAUUAUGGAUGUACAUUUCAGCUCCAUCAGUAAGAGAUUUUGGAAUUGAGCUUACAAAAGUUUGUUUAAGAUAAAUAUCUGCACCAAGAGCAAAAAAUAGUUUAGUCGUCUUCUUGAAAUGUUUAUUAAUAUCUCUACUAUCAUAAGAGAAACAUUUCAUUUAAAAGAUUUCUUUUCUCUUUGUCUCCUUGCUCUCCUUUACAUCUCUUAUGAACUUCAAGUGCAGUAUAUUGAUGUUUUCAAAAAAGUCUUGACGGGUCAAGAAAUACAUCUUAUCUUGAUCACCAAGGCUUGCCCACCAAUCUUUAAGAAUUCCUGAAAAAUGAGCAGUAAAGUCAAACAAAAUUUCAAAAUGAGAUUAUUCAGUAAUAUUUUGCACAAUCAUCGAGGCAUGAAAAUACUAAAAUCUUGCUUCCCAUUUUUCAGAUGGGAUAUCAUCAAUAGUAAAAGUUUGAACUCCCUUUGAUUUUGGAAAAGUGGUCCAUUGAGUUCUAGAAGCAUUUGAUGUUUCUCCUUCACCAUCUUCCUCAUCAUCAAGAUGUACAACUUUAGCUUCAGUAGCCAUAUUUAUGAUCGAAAUUUCUUCUUCUUCAGAAGAUGUCACUUCCUCAGAUGAUUCUAAGAUUUGAUUUUCAUUUGAUUCAGAUUCUGAAUUUGUUGUAUUAGAAUUUUCUGAGUUAUGUGUCAUCUGGUCAUAAAUAGAAGGGCAAAAAACCUGGGCGGCCAUUAAACUUUUCUCAACAUCAUGUUUUGACCAUCGAACUAUUUUUUGUCAAUUAUUGACCACUAAACAACUUAAUCAGUCCACCCGUGCCCAUUUCGUCGGUAAUGGCUGUUAAUUUCUGAAAUUAGCAUUACACGCGGCAAAUCACAGGGGCAAUUUUGUCCGUCAAUCCACUGACCGUUCCCUUACAUUAGUACAUCAACUGAAAAGAAAAAAAGAGCGGUAGAAACAAGCCAAUCAAACAAACUGAAGUUCUCAAAAUCGUUGUAGGAAGAUCGAAGAGAAGGGUUUUGAAGAUCGAAGAGAAGGGAAAAUCGUGGUGAAUCUAUGGAGUGGAUCAUCAGGAGAAGAGACGUCGACAUUGAUCCAUAUGAAAUUUACGGUAAGUUAUUUUUCGGAGAAAAUCAUGUGAAUGAACUGAAACUAUACUUUAAACUAAAUUUAAUGGGUGUAUUACUCAAGUUUGUGUCUGAAAUUGAAGGUGCUUAUUUGUGGGUUGUGAAUAUGUAGCAGCAUUAUGGGGUUUAAAUGUUAGGGUUUUCAUCCAACUGCCGGUUGUAAAAGUGGAAUAUUUUGAAAUAAACAAGUUUUUUUUUCAGCCUUGUUUUUUCAAAUGAAGUGAUUCCUUUUUUUUUUCCCAUUUCAUUGCAGUGCCUAAUUCUGAACUAUUCAGUAUUAGAAUGUUUCAUGGUGGUAGAUUUAGUGGGCGUCAGUAUAAAACAUACGUUGGUGGUGAAAUAGAUUAUGUUGAUGCAUGUGAUGCGGAGAGAAUGUCUGUCCAUGAGAUAAAUGAGAUGGUUCAGGAUUUAGGACAUAAUGGUACAAUGCUUUACUAUUACUUAGAACCUGGGAGUGAUUUGAAUAAGGGAUUAAGAGAGUUACAAGGAGAUGCAGAUAUAGUGGCAAUGUGCAAAUGGGCGUACGAGCACAAACUGAUAGAUGUUUAUUGUGACCAUAGGCCUUUACAUGAAAUUCUUGACAUCCAGUCACAUUCCCCACUGUUAGGUAGUAAGAAAAAAACAGGGGUUGUAAUUGAAGAAAUUGAUGAACAUGGUAGAGUAGUUGUAGAUGAACAUGGCAGUGGAGUUGUAGAACUUGAUAAACAAUUGGUGGUUAGAAAAAACCUGUUUGGUAGCUCUUUUGUUAGUACAAAUAUGACUGCCCCUGGAGCAGCAAUGGGAGGUACAAGUAGAGGUGAAGGUGUAAGAGUAAGUGUUGUCAUUGAGGGAGAAGCUAGUGGGACUGGUGUAAAGAGUAGGAGUCAAGGAGAUAAAACUGAUGUGAAUGCAAGGGCAGGUGAAGAAGAUAAUAAAGAUGACAGCAGCUCAGAAGGGGAGCAUUUCACUGAUGACGAAGAGUUUUGCAAAGAUGAUCAAAUGCUUGGGAGUGAGAAACCAACUCCCACAGUUGAAAUAUCCCCUCCUGUUAUGAGGAGAACUACUGAAUCUAUACUCCAUGAGAGCCAAGAUGUAAAUGGCUUGGAAAGUGGUACACAUGGAGAUGGUCAACAUGAUGUCCAAGCUGAAAAACAAUCACAGGCAACUGAAGGAUCAUCUGGUGGCAGUAAGAGAGCAAAGAAAAAGUAUCCUAGAAAAACAACAAGAGGAAAAAGAAAGAGAUCAGCAAGAAGGGAGAAGACAUCAUCAGCACAGGCUGUUAAUAACACAUCAUCACAGGAAGCUACUGAGGAAAUGGAAGAAGCUGCUGAUGAAGAUGUGUUGCAUGACAACAUGAUGGAGGAUGACCUGCAUAGCAUUGAUGGUUCUUCUGAUGAAGAUGAUGAAGUGCAGAAGGGAAUCAAAUAUGUUGACUUCAAUGCUGAAAAGGACAUGAGAAAUCCACAUUUCCAGGUUGGGAUGCGAUUUGCAUCAUCAGCUGAGUUUAAGGCCGCAAUGCAGAAUUAUUCUAUUGCUAAUGGUAAACCUGUUUGGUACUACACUAAUGAGGAAUUGAGAGUAAGAGUAAGGUGCAAGGAUCCAUGCAACUAGGAGUGUUAUGCUUCUCAAGAGAAAGCAAUUGGGCCGAAUGAUUUGGUGAUUAAGACCCUUUAUGAUGUACACUCAAACUGCAGUCAUGCCUGGAAAAAUAAAAUGAUGACUGCUAAAUGGGUUGCUGAGAGAUAUGAGGACAAAAUUAGGGCCAAUAUGAACAUUCCAGUCCAUGCUUUAAGGCAGACAGUGCAUGAGGAGUACAAGAUACAAAUAUCGAAAACAAUAGCCAGAAAUGCUAGAGGUAUAGCUGUUGACAGAAUCAAAGGUUGUGCAGUCGAACAGUAUAAGCAUAUAUGGGAAUAUUGUGAGGAGAUUAAGAAGACUCAUACUAAUUCUACCAUGGUGGUCGAGUUCACUCCAUUUAGAGAUCCAGGUUCGAAUCCUAGGUUCAUGAGACUAUACUGUUGUUUAGGUGCACUAAAAGAAGGAUUCAAAAUGUGUAGACCUGUGAUUGGACUUGAUGGCUGCCAUAUAAAAGGGCCUUACCCUGGUCAACUGUUAUCAGCAGUGGCAGUUGAUCCCAACAAUGGUUGGUGGCCUAUUGCUUGGGCCAUAGUGGAGAAGGAAGCUACAAUACAGUGGAAAUGGUUCUUACAACUUCUCCAAGCAGAUCUGGAAAUAGAUAAUCAGUGUCACUACACUUUCAUCUCUGAUCAACAAAAGGUAUGGAUCUUAUUAUCCAACAUUUGAUGUGAGACUUGUGGCUGCUUGAACCAAUAAUUCAUUUGUUUUUGUGCAGGGAUUGGACAGAGCAUUAUCCGAGGUGCUACCCAACUCUGAGCAUAGAUAUUGUGUGCAGCAUAUGUAUCAAAAUUUCAAGAAGAAACAUCCUGGAAAGGCACUUAAAGGGAUGCUGUGGGCGAUAGCUAGGAGCAGCACAAUUGAGAUGUACAAGAAAGCUGUUGAGGACUUGAAAGAGUAUGACAAUGAAGCAUACAAGUGGGUGGAGAAGGCUCCUCAUCCGAUGCAUUGGUGUAAGGCUUACUUUUCUCCUCACACUAAAUGUGACAUGAUUGUCAAUAAUCUGUGCGAAUCUUUCAAUUCACAUAUACUAGAGGCCAGGGAUAAACCAAUUAUAUCUUGCUUGGAGAAUAUUAGAGAACUGAUGAUGGAAAGAAUUCAAAAAAGAAAGGCUGCCAUGACUAGAUAUCCACACUCAACUGGUCCUCUGAUCAGAAAAAUUGUUGAGGACAGAAUUGAAGAAUCUUUCCAGUGGUUCCCACAGUUCAAUGGGAUUGAUGGUUAUCAGGUAAAAGGUCCAAGAAAUUCCCAGUUUGCUGUGAAUUUGAGAAUGAAGAGUUGCACUUGUCGAAUCUGGGAAUUAUCUGGCUUACCUUGUACCCAUGCCAUUGCAGCAAUAAAGCAAACUGAGGAUGAUCCACAUGAAAUGAUUGUGGAAUAUUACUACAAGAGCUUAUUUUUACAGAUUUAUAAUAAUGUCUUACAACCCAUCAGCAGCCAAGUACUGUGGCCUGAGUCCAGCAUGCUUCAACUUGAUCCUCCAAUUCCCACUGUCCAGCCUGGGAGGCUAAAAAAGGCAAGGAGAAGAGAUGAGACAGAAGGGAAGAACCAUGGAAGAAAACUUAGAAAAAAUGUCACUAUGCAUUGCAGAAAAUGUGGUAAAACAGGGCACAAUGCUGCAACAUGCAAAGAGGUGACUGAGCACCAACAAUCUGGCCAGCCAAAGAAGAAAAAACAUGUGAGUAUACAUACAGUUCAAUGUAUUUCAAAUGUCAUAUAGUAUACAUACAUAUAGUCUCUAAUCAACUGGCAUUUGUAUAAGGUUUCUAGAAGAAAACAGCAAGCAAAAGUAGUCCAGUCACAAGGUAUAGAGACCCAAGGGCUACAGCAACAGGAAACUCCAUUAGCUAGCCAACCAAGCCAACCAAUCGCAUCUGCAACUCAGCAAUCAGAUCUAAUGUCCCAACACCCAACUCCACCACUUCAACAGCCAAUACCAGUAGUUCAGCAACCAGAUCCAGCAGCUACAAGUUCUAGAUCUGGCAUGAAAUUCAACAGAAAUGGUAAACGGCCCUUGACUGAUGCUGACAAAGGGAUGAUUAAUGCUAAUUAUGCCUACUUGGGAAAGGAACCACCCUUCAAGGUUGGUAGGUGGAGAGGUAGAAGAGGUGCAAAUGCUGGUAGAUCUAGAUCUAGAUCUACAAGAGGCAGAAGUGCAGGUGCAAGUUAGAUGGAAUUGGAUACAGUUUUAGAUGUGAUCCGAGAUGUUGAUGAUGGUGACUGAUAUGUACAUAAGUCUUUUGACUUAUAAUAGUUUAUUUAAGUUGAUGGGAUCCACUUCAUGUUGAUAGUGGACGGCUUUUGUUUUGUUAUGGUGGAUGCCUUUUGUUUUUCAUCCACUAUCUUUUUGCUUAUUCAACAGAAAGCUGUGUAUUUUUGCAAAUUGGAAACUUUUCUAGUUGGUUUUAUCUAAUGGAAAUGGUCCUUUUGUCUUAAUUUUCUGUGUUAUAAUGCCGCAUUCAUCAGAAACUACAAAAAACUUGCAUCCAUUCAUUCAGUAAAAAGUAACACAAUUACAGUAGGGAUUCCAUUACAUAAGAAAGCAAACCAAUGAAAAAAUCACUACAAAAUACAACAUGGGAAUCUUUGGUCUGCUAUUGCUACGGACACUACCACCAAAAGCUGUCUCCACUCAACCUUACUACUCUCAUUUCAUCACAAUCACCCAACAACAUUAACUAUCCCUUGAUGGCCAACAUAUGGUCACUCUUAAUAACAGUCUUCAGAUAGCAGCAAAAACAAUACAGCAAUAGAAAUGCCCAUGUACCGAGAAGAGCUCUUUUGAGAUAGUGCUCUCUGGUCUUGUACUUUUUCACUUCACCCUCCAAUUUUGCAACUUUAAGUUCCAAUUUUUGAGCUUUAUUUUCCCAUCUUCUUGCUGAAGUUUCUAAUUCCUCCAUAUUACUUUCCAUUCUAUUCAUUCUUCGCAGCAAACCAGGAAUCACUUGAGUUGAUUUUUCGCACAUUGUUGGAUCAUACCAUUCCCAAAAACCACAUCCCUCAUCCUGCAAUUUACAUUUUCCAAGACUAAAUCCUCUUGUUAUAACAUUUCCAUUACAAAUCUAACAUCUUACCUCUCUAAGAUCUUACCUCUCCUAAAGUGCAGACCACAAAUCUUCUUGCUGGGUUCCAAUUUGUCCAUGAGGUCUUCACCAUUGCUGUUAAUCCGCAGGAGCAUCUAGGUAUGGGUUUAGGAGAGCGUCUCGACAUUCUUUGGCUUCUUCAAUUUCUGACACAGGAUUUAGGGCUGGAAAUUGAGUCCCAAUUGUUUCCUCCACAAGACCAGACACUUCAGUUUGUUUGAUUGGCUUGUUUCUACCGCUCUUUUUUUCUUUUCAGUUGAUGUAUUAAUGUAAGGGAACGGUCAGUGGAUUGACGGACAAAAUUGCCCCUGUGGUUUGCCGCGUGUAAUGCUAAUUUCAGAAAUUAACAGCCAUUACCGACGAAAUGGGCACGGGUGGACUGAUUAAGUUGUUUAGUGGUCAAUAAUUGACAAAAAAUAGUUCGAUGGUCAAAACAUGAUGUUGAGAAAAGUUUAAUGGCCGCCCAAGUUUUUUGCCCUAAAUAGAAAUGUAUGGUACUGACUCAUCAUGCAAUUCUUGGAGCAUAGAUGAUAAAGGAUUGUCAUAGACUUUUAUAGUCUUUCCUGCUUCCUUUUCCUGCUCAAGAGAAAAUAUAGGGUUAGUAUGUAUUUUAGUAUACAUCAAUGAACUUUCUGGUUCUUGAACAGCUUCCUUUUCCUUUCUUUUUCACCCUUCUUCCUUUCUCUUUCUUCAUCCUUUUGUUUUUGCUUAUUCUUACGAUAUUCUCGUAAUACUUUAACAAUAUCAAAAGCAGGAGGAGUCUGCUCUUGUUGACUAGGAAAGAAGACAGAAGGAUUUGGUGUAGCUACACCACCAAAGUAAAAAGGAGUAGGCCAAUUUUUGAUAGAAGUAGUAUCAAAUCCUGGACUUACCUUGGGUGCGGUUGGUUCAAAUAGUCAAACAUCAAAUUUAGGGACCUCACCUGUAGUUUUGAGAGUUUCAAUUUGAUUUUUAAUAAAGCGAGUUUUCUUUUCCUGAUUCAAAACAAAGUUAGCUAAAGAUGAAGAAUGUGAAAGCAAUUCAUAUUUCAAAUUUUCUAGCGUUUUUUCAAGAACUUCAAUCAUAUGAGAUACCUAAGAGUUUUGAGUUUUAACAGCAGUAUCAACAUGAUCAAUUUUCCCUUUUACCUCAGUCACAUUCUUAUGGAUGGAAUUAAGAGCAGUAUUCUGAACUAAGGAGUUUUCAGUUUGCCAAUUCAUAAUUUCUUCAAUAGGACUGGAUCUAACAGUUUCUCCUGUUGGGAGAACUGUAGGAUGAGCAUUCUAAACUAUUGGCACAUGUCUAGAACCAUUUUUGAUAAAAGGUUCUAGUUUGGGGAAAUCUUCUUCAUUAAACAUGAAAACUUGUUGAAGUGAUUCCUCAGGUUUUUGGUACAGGCAUCUUGAUGGCUGUACGGAUUAAAUGGGUUUUUGAACUGGUUUCCAUAUUUCUUUUCUUUUUGAUUUCAUUUUUCAAGAUAGCCAAACACUUCUGAUGGUAUGGAUGGAGUUUCUGCUUGGGAGUCUGUGAUUCCUUGGAAAUCUAAGAUGACGGAAUUUGAUAUCCGUCAAAGUCACUUCUUUUUGACAUGAAGUUGUCAGUAUUAAGGUCUUGUGGUUCAAGAUCUGAUUUACAGAGUCUUUUCUCACAUGACUUUGUCUUUUUCUUCUCUUUUGAAAGUAAUGGAUAAUUAUCACUAAAAUGAUGUUCCCACCAACAGUCAUCACACUUAGUACAUACAUAAAAAUAAAUAUGUCCAAAAAUAAGAUUCUGAAAAUGAUAUACUAGUUCACUUUCCUUAGUGAAAUGAGCAAUAAUAUCUUGGGCAAAAUCUUUUUCUCAGUUUUCAUCAUAUCUUUCAAGAACUAUUUCUUUUUCAGUUGGUGUCUCCAUGUAAACCUGUGCAAGCAUCAUAGUAGGAUAAGAUUUUUUUUUUUUAAUUUGGCUUUAAAUGGAAAUGAUUAAAAGUAAUUGAAAUUCUCCCUUCUUGUGUCUGAGAGAUUUUUGAGUUUCAAAACUCAAUAGGUUCAUUUGCUUGAGAAUGCAGGGACUCAUAAUCAGUAAUCCAAUUAUCUGGCAAUAAUUGAAUUAAUUCUGAUUUUAAAAUUUGUCUUGGCAUAUGGGUGCAAGAGACUGAAUUCUUCUAAUUAAUACGAAUAAAAAGAGCAUCUUCUUCACCAGGAAUUGUGAGAUCCAGAGUAUGAUUUUGGACACGAUAAACCAUUUGAUAGUGGAGGAUUGCAACAAUAGCAUCUGUCACUUAGUCUGCUCUUAUGAUUUGUACCUGGACAGAGACAUGAAAAUUGGGUAAAAGAGUCACAAAAAUAAUUCCAACAUUUAGAGUAGUUUCUACGAUUGCUAUACAAGUAUGCUGGUAUUUUGUGAAUCUGGUGUCAAGCAAGGCUAUGCGAGCCACCAUUGGUAGCCCCUUUCUACCAUGAAAGGAUAAAGAGAAUCUAAUUGUACCAAAGUGAAUAUGAGUAAAUCCCUAUUGCUUCCAUUGAGAAAAAAAUUUUGGAGGAAUAUAGAGUGUAAUGAACUGUUCUUUUUAGUAGCAAGGAUAGGAUGUUGAUCCACUUUUGAAACCUGAAUAUAUUCUUUUACGCCCUUGAAAUGGUGCUUGAUCAAAGAUUUGAUAGUCCUGAUAGGUGAGAAUUGUUUGUUUAUCAAAUGCAGUAUAUGAAUUAAUAACAGACAAAGAGAUAAGAUUAACCAACUCUAGUUCAACGACACUUCAUACAAAUAAUCUAAUUUAUUACUAUUAGUUCUAUUUAAUACAAGUUCACUGGAAGUAGAAGCACUCAUUUUAGAAGUAGAAGAACUCAUAUUUUUAAUUUAUUAAAAUCUUUCUCACUAUUUAUCUUAUAAAUACGAUACUAUGUAAGAUAUAUAUAUACACGCCUUCUAACUAUCUGGUAUGAUUUAAUAUGCAAAUAAUCUAGUAAAUUAAAAAUUUUUAACUCAAAUAGUCUAAUAUAAUCUAUACAUUCUUGCUUAUUAUAAUAUUCAAACAUAAAAUAUGGAGAAUCUCUACAAAUAUCAUUAAAGACAUAAUUAUACCAAUCUCCUGAAUAUGGAUCAAAGUGAUGCCAUAAACCUAAUAAAAAGUAUAGAAAGAAAUUUUAAGAAUAAAAUUUUUUCUUUAUAUUUGACUCUGAUACCAAAUUCAGAUAGCCAACUCUAAAUUUUGAAAGUAUUCUCAAACACAACAGCUUCUCUUUUUUGGGCUUUCAAAAGUUCAAGGGAAUUUUAUCACAAGAUCAGAGUGAUUACUUUCAUAAGGAUCUCGGCCUUUCUAAAGAGAAAAUAAGAAGUUUAAGCUGCCAUAACCUUGAGAAAUUGCUAGAAAUUUUAUUGGGUUUUCUCAAUCUUUUCUUCGAUGAUCUUCCUAAAUGGUAAGAGUCAUCUAUUUAUACAAACUAAAGUGAUCUUUCAGAUACUUGACCUUUCAGAAAUCAUAUAGUAAAAUGACUCUCGGUGAAAGGUAAUAGACAACCUUCCAAGGACUCAAAAAAUAAACAACCUUUCAGAAAAAUAAAAGACAAAUGACCCUUUAGAAAAGUAAAGGUUACAGACAACCUUUAUUGUUGGAACCUAUUAUUGUCUAACUAUUCCAAAUCCACUGGUAGUCUUCAUCAGGGGUAUCCGAGGAAGUGGUAUCAGGAUCAGUGAUGUACAACUCAAUAUGAUACUCAUGUGCUUCUUGAUUUUUCCUUUUAUUCAACUGUUUUUUUUUCUUCUGAUCUUGUUUAUGAACAUAAAAAGAUGAAUAUGGUCCAGCUUCUUAUUGCCUUGUCUCAUAUGGAUCCUGAAAAUCUUGCAUUACAGUGUUAUGCAUUUUAUCUUGAUAUUGUUUCUUGGCCAUUUUAACUUUAGUCCAAUGAAGAUGACUAGUUUCUUAGUUCCAUGAACCAUAAUGUCUUUUGGCCAAAUCUCAGGUGAAAUGUAUCUAUUUUUCUAAAAUAUAUAUCUGUGAACUUCCUCAUAUUCAUAGUCAAGAUCUAAAAUAGUAUGAGACAUUUCUUUAUAAAUGACCACACUUAGAAGGGACUGAAACUGGUUGUUUAUCAGAUGACAAGCUCUAUGGAAAUGAAAAAUAACACAUUUUGGAUUGGUUGAAAAUAAUUUAAACCAAAAUGUUAAUGGUCGAAACCAUUACAGGAAAACUUGGAUGCUUGGAUUUAAUGGUUGAUUGAAGAAUGGACUCUAAAAUUCCAUUAAAUAUGAUAUUAAUGGUAUAGACAUCAAAAAUACUAUAACAGUGGUUUUGAAAAAUUAUAAGGGUUGGCUAUGCAUAUUUGACAGAAUGGAUAUUGGCUAAUUGCUUUGAAUAUUGCAACAAAAAAAAAAAGUCGAAACAAUGUUGCUCUGACAAUAUGGCAGUAUAAAACUAUACCUACCAGGCUGAGUCAGCCCGGUAGGCAAAAAAAUUCUUUUUUUUUUAAAGGUUUGGCUGCCGGACUGACUUGCCCGGCAGCCACUCAAUCAGUCCGGUAGCCACUGAAAAUUUGUUAAGAAAAGCUGCAGGCCGUCAGACAGCCUGCAGCUUAACUUUUUUUUUUUUCUAAAAACUUGCAGCUUGCUUUUUUAAAAAAUAAAAAUAAAAACUUAUGCUAUCGGCCUUCAAGCCCGGUUGCCUUUGCGGUUAAUUCUUUUUUUUUUUUUUAAGUUCAAACGUAAGAAAAAGGUCAAGAUAAAUUUGCUAAAUCAAUUAUUUUUAUCCCUAAAAAAAGUUUUUAGAUAAAAAAAUCUCAUUCAAUUUACAAGAAGAUGCAUUUCCCAAAUGUUUGCAAAAUAAUCGUUGAAAUUAUUAUGUAUAAGAUUUGGUUUUAUAUUUUUUAUAAAAUCUAUAAAAAAUUAAUAUUUACUUAAAUAAAAUAUAUAAAUAAAUUAUUAUUUGGCAGUGGGUUGUUAUAAGAAUAAAGGUAAAAAUAAAUAUAAUAAUGAGUAGUUAAGUAUAAAAGUAAUUUUUAAUGUAAACUAUAAUUUUAUAAAUAUAAAAUUAUUGUGCAAUAUAAAAAUGAAAAGGCAAACAAUAGAAAAGAAGAAAAUUUUGAUAAUGUGAAAUGGUGAAAUGAUGAAAUUUAAAAGUAAUGAUACUCGUUCAAAUAAUAGAAGUUUAAAAUAAUGCUAAAUAGCAUAUUGAAAUGUGAAAACUCAAAGAUCUCAUGUUCAGAAUUCAUGCACAAUAAAUGCACAUGCAAAUUAUAGAUUAGACACAAAAUUAUAUCAACAAUUUAUUUUAUCCAAACACAUAUUGAAAUCCUUGAAUUAGAUCGUUCAAGUCAAUUAAGAGUCUGGCUAAUAGAUCUUCAUGGCACAAAAUGGUAGACUCUGUUGCUUUUGUUAUCAGAAAAUAUGACAAAUAAAUAAUUUGAUAAUUUACACAAUAAAGAUACAUCAAAUAAAUUGAUCCUCAUACGACAAGAUCAGCCAAAGCAAAACUUGCAUUAUUCCAUCCGGGGAAAAAAAAGAAACGAAAAGGAAAGGAGCAAGUGAACCCCAUUGACCAAAAAGAGAUUCCCUUGCAGCUUUUUGGGCUAAUGGUGCAGGCGAACCCCAAUUAAAGCCUACAAAAGUUUUUAAUUAAAAAAAAAGAAAUUUAAGCUGGCUGCUGGCUGCUGGCCUGCAAUUUAAAAAAAAAUUAAGUUGCAGGCUGUCAACCAACUAAAUAUUGUUAAGUACUUUUAAGUACUAUUAUAUUUAUUUUUACCGUUAUUUUUAUAACAACCCACUGCCAAAUAAUAUUUUAUUUGUAUAUUUUAUUUAAAUAUAUAUCAAUUUUCUAUAUAUUUUAUAAAAAAAAUAUAAAACCAAAUCUUAUACAUAAUAAUUUCAACGAUUAUUUUUCAAACAUUUAGGAAAUGCAUCUUCUUGUAAAUUGAAUGAGAUUUUUUUUUAUCUAAAAACUUUUUUUAGGGAUAAAAAUAAUUGAUUUAGCAAAUUUAUCUUAGCCUUUUUCUUAUGUUUAAACUUAAAAAAAAAAUUAACUACAAAGGCAACCGAGCUUCAAGGCCGAUAGCAUAAGUUUUUAAUUUUUUUAAAAAAAAAGAGUAAGCUACAAGCUCGGCAGCCUGCAUGUUUUAAAAAAAAAGGGUUAAGCUGCAGGCUGUCUGACAGCCUACAGCUUUUCUUAACAAAUUUUCAGUGGCUGCCGGGCAAGUUAGCCCUGCAGCCAAACCUUUUAAAAAAAAAAAAGGAAUUCUCGUCUACCAGGUUGAGUCAGCCUGGUAGGCAUAGUUUUAUACUGUCAAAUUGUCAGAACAACAUUGUUCCAAUUAUUUUUUUUGGCAAUAAUCAGAGCAAUUAGCCAUGAAUAUUCAGGAUUUGUACCAAAGAAAUUUAAGAUUGAUCCGCCAUAUGAACUAAAGACUUCUAGUUCAUACUGAUUUCAGAUUUUUUCAAGAUCUUCUUUUCCAAUAGAUAAGGUAUUUCAUGAAUAUCUGGGAGUUCUAAACAGACAGGUGUAAACAUGAAACAAGUUGAUAUUUCCUAUGGGUGAGUGGAAAAUUUUGGCUCAGUUGAUUCUUUUCUCGAGAAGAAAUCUGCUACAACAUUUUUUUUCCCUUUAAUGUUUUUAUAUCAAAGGAAUAUUGAAAAAAUCAGGCUGGCCAACGGAGUAGUUGAUGAUGAGGGAUGAUUUUUUGUUUAAAGUGCAGCAUCUUAGGAAGUGAUCCCAUAUCUAUUUCAACCAAGAAAUGAUGAGAAAGAAAGAGAAUUUUUUAAUUCCAUUUCUUACUGUAAGUAUCUCCUUGAAAGUGGAAUGCUAAUGUUGCUCUGAAGCUUUGAACUUUCCACUUGCAAAUCCACAUCAAUGCCUUUGUCCCUGUUUAUCUUCUUCAAGUAAGAUUGCUCCCCAAUAUUUAUCACUAGGAUCAAUCUGUAAGAUCUUCUUUCCAUCAGAGGGAAUGUGUUAGGACCGGCCCAAGAAUAGACAAACUAAAGUUAGCACAAAUUAGGCGGUAUAACCGACCAUAUAAAAAUUAGACGGUAGACACCAACCAUAUAAUAAUUAGACGGUAAAACUGGCCAUAUAAAAGGGUUAUGAUAACCCAAUAAAGACAAAUAAUAAAGCAAAUAAAAAGACACAGAAGAUUUACGUGGUUCGGUCAAAUUGAUCUACGUCUACGGGCGAGAGAUGAGCAAUAUUUCUACUAUGAAGAAGAAAUACAAAAGCCGUAGGAAAGUGAUUCCUAAGCCAAUAAGGCACUUAUACAAGGUUUAGGAAAUUUUCUAAACACAAAACAAGAGAGUCUUAAAUAUUUGACUAAAUGGGUUAGAUGACUCAAGAAGCUAAUAGCCCAUAUAACUCUCUUGAGUGGUGCAAUCAAUUCCUUCAUAAGGCUCCCUUAUUUAUAGGAAACCAAAGGAAUUCCUUCAUAAGGCUCCCUUAUUUAUAGGAAACCAAAGAAAGAAUUCCUUUGGCUUCUACCGAUGUGAGACGAAGCACCAAAAGCAUUUGGUCAACAAAUGCGGCUUCAACAAAUCUCCACCUUGAUGAGUCCCCAACAUCGAGAGAUUAUAAACUUGCUCCACCUUCUCCAUAUAAGCCCCAAAUAGCCUUGGCCGAAGUCUCCGUUGCUACCUCACACAAUACCUCAUCGGAGAGAUUUAAGAUUAUGCUGAAUCUGGCCUUUUUAUCCAUAUCGGCGAAAUCCGCAUCCUUUACAUCUUCUGGCAUUUUCUCAAUUCCUUGAAUUACCAAGUCAACUUCGUCUUGAACAAGAAUGGCCUCCAUCUUGAGCUGCCACAUGCCGAAGUUGACAUUUCUGUCGAAUUUUUCGACAACCGUCUUUGUUAUCGUCAUUGUUGUCACAAAAUCUAUAACUUGAAGUUUGUCUCAAAAAACUGGUCAAAAUAUGCAAGUCUCGUGAGUGGGUCCCACAGGGUGAGCGGGCCCCACCCGAUGAACGAACCCCACAAGGUGAGCGGGCCCCAUUUGUUGAAGCCGCAUUUGUUGACCAAAUGCUUUUGGUGUUUCAUCCCACAUCGAUAGAAGCCAAAGGAAUUCUUCCUUUGGUUUCCUAUAAAUAAGGUGCCUUAUAAAGGAAUCGAUUGCACCACUCAAGAGAAUUAUAUGUAGGGGUGUAUUCGAGUCGAGUCGAGCUCGAGUAUAAUAUAAUUAUACUCGAGUAUAAUAUAAUUAUACUCGAGCUCGAUCGAAUCGGAGAAUCACAGCUCGAGCUCGAUCGAGUCCUUAAAAAGCUCGAGCUCGACUCGAUAAGGGUACUCACCCGUAAUUUCUCAAAAUUUAUUUACCUAUAUUAGUAAUUUUAUAUAUAAUUUUUUUUAAUUUUUUUAUGUGAUACUCGAUAGAGCUCGUUGAGCUCUCGAGUAUUAAAUUUCUGAGUUCGAGCUCGACUCGAUAGCUCUAACGAGCAGCUUGAGAUCGAGCUCGAGCUUCUGAUCAAGUACAUAUCGAGCUCGAGUCCAGUAGAUUGACUCAACUCCACCCCUAGUUAUAUGGGCUAUUAGUUUCUUGAGUCAUCUAACCCAUUUAGUCAAAUAUUUAAAACUCUCUUGUUUUGUGUUUAGGAAUAUUUCCUAAACCUUGUAUAAGUGCCUUAUUGAUUUAUGAACCACUUUCCUAUGGUUUUGAAUUUCUUUUUCAUAAUAGAAAUAUUGCUCCUCCCUCACCCGUGGACGUAGAUCAAUUUGAUCGAAUCAUGUAAAUCUUCUGUGUCUUUUUAUUUGCUUUAUUAUUUGUCUUUAUUGGGUUGUCAUAACCCUUUUAUAUGGUCGGUUUUACCGCCUAAUUAUUAUAUGAUUGAUGUCUACCGCCUAAUCUUUAUAUGGUCGGUUAUACCGCCUAAUUUGUGUUAACUUUAGUUUGUCUAUUCCUGGGCCGAUCCUAACAGAAUGUACAAGAUUGGAAGACGAAAAAAUUCUUUCUUAAGAUUUUGGAUUGAUCGGGUUUGAGAUGAACCCCAUAGGAUGGUUUUUUCUAAAGCAUUUUAGUCAAGGGACUGAUAUGCUUGGCUGUCUUUGGAAUGAAUUCUCGGACAUAAUUAACAACUCUAAGAAACUGUUGAACUUGUAUUUUUGACAAAUCUUUUUUAGGAAAAUUUGUAAUUGAUUGUCCAACAUGCUGCUCAGUAGUACAUUUUCCUUCAGAAAUUUUCAUUCCAAGAAAUUGAAUUUCUUGUUUUUCCAAAAUCAUUUUCUUUUUAGAAAUCAUGAUACCAUAUUGUUUAACAAUAUUAUGAAAAUCAUUACGCAAUUGAAUGUGUUCUUCCCAAGUGUUACUGAAAAGAAGAAUGUCAUCAAUAUACACCAAUGCAAUGUGAAGAAUAGGCUGAAAAAUUUUUAUCAUGGCCUUUUGAAAAAGUGAAGGUGCCGUCUUUAGGCCACAGGGCAUCACUUUUCACUGGAAAAAGAAGAUCUUAAAAGAAUCCGAAACCAAUAUGAACUAAAAGUAUUUAGUUCAUAUGACGGAUCAAUCUUAAGUUCCUUUGGUAAAAAUCAUGAAUACCCAUUCUGUCAAAUUUUCAUAGCCAACUCAUGAUUUUUCAAAACCACUAUUAUGGUAUUUUUGGUGUCUAUGCCAUCAAUAUCAUAUUUUAAUGAAAUUUCAGAGUUCAUUCUUCAAUCAACCAUUAAAUCCAAACCUCCAAGUUUUCCUGCAAUUGUUUCAACCAUAAACAUUUUGGUCUGGAUUAUUUUCAACCAACUCAAAAUAUGUUAUUUUCCAUUUUCAUAGAUCUUAUCAUCUGAUAAACAACCAGUUUUAAUCCCUUUCAAGUGUGGUCCAUUUAUAAAAAAAUAUCUCAUACUAUUUUAGACCUUAAAUAUGAAUAUGAAGAAAUUCAGAGAUAUAUAUUCUAGGAAAACGAUGCACUCCACCUGAGAUUUGGCCAGGACAUUAUGGUCCUUGAAACUAUGAAACUAGUCAUCCUUAUUGGACUAAAGUUAAAAAGACCAAGAAACAAUAUCAAGAUAAAAUGCAUGACACUAUAAUGCAAGAUUCUCAGGAUCCAUAUGAGAUAAGUCAAAUAGAAGUUGGACCCUCUUCAUCUUCUUAUAUUCAUAAAACAAGAUCAAAAGAAAAAAAAAACAAUUGAAUAAAACGAAAAAUCGAGAAGCACAUGAGUUGAGCUGUACAAUAUCACUGAUCCUGACACCACUCCUUCGAAUACCCCUGAUGAAAACUACCAGUGGAUUUGGGAUGUUUAGACAAUAAUAGGUUCCAAUAAUAAGGGUUGUCUGUAACUUUAUCCGUAACAUUUACUUUUCUAAAAGGUCAUUUGUCUUUUAUUUUUCUGAAAGGUUGUUUGUCUUUUGAGUUCUUGAAAGGUUGUCUAUUACUUUUCACCAAUAGUAAUUUUACUAUUUGAUUUCUAAAAGGUCAAGUGUCCAAAAGAUCACUUUAAUUUGUAUAAAUAGAUGACUCUUACCAUUUUGAAGGAUCAUCGAAGAAAAGAUUGAGAAACCCAAUAAAAUUUCUAACAAUUUCCCAAAGUUAUGGCGGUUUAAACUUCUUAUUUUCCCUUUAAGAAGACCGAGAUCCUUAUGAAGGUAAUCACUCUGAUCUUGUGAUAAAAGUCCCUUAAACUUUUAAAAGUUCAAGAGAGAGAGGCUAUUGUGUUCGAGAAUACCUUUAAAGUUUAGAGUUGGCUACACUGAGUUUGAUAUCAGAGCCAUACCUAAAAGGAAAAUUUCUCAUCCAAAUUUUCAUUCUUAAAAUUUCUUUCUUUACUUUUUAUGGGUUCAUGGUACCACUUUGAUCCAUAUUCAGGAAAUUAAUAUAAUUAUGUCUUUAAUGAUGUUUGUAGAGAUUCUCCAUAUUUUAUGUUUGAAUAUUAUAAUAAACAAAAAUGUAUAGAUUACAUUAGACUACUUAAGUUAGAAAGUUUUAAUUCACUAGAUUAUUUGCAUCCUAAAUCAUACCAGAUAGUUAGAAGACAGGUAUAUAUAUAUGUUAUGGUAUCGUAUUUAUAAGAUAAAUGGUGAGAAAGAUUUUAAUAAAUUAAAAAUAUGAGUUCUUUUACUUCUAAAAUGAGUUAUUCUACUUCUGGUAAACUUGUAUUAAAUAGAACUAAUAGUAAUAAAUUAGAUUAUUUGUAUGAAGUGUCUGUUGAAUCAGAGAUGGUUAAUCCUACCUCUUUGUCUGUUAUUAAUCUAUAUACUGCAUUUGGCAAACAACAAUUCUCACCUAUCAGGGCUAUCAAAUCCCUGAUCAAACACUAUCCCAAGAGUAUAAAAGAAUAUAUUUAGACUUCAAAAGUGAGUCAACAUUCUAUCCUUGUUACUAAGAAGGAAUAGUUCAUUACUCUCUAAAUUCCUCCAGAAUUUCCUUCUCAACGGAAACAACAAGGAUUUACUCAUAUCCAUUUUGGUGCAAUUAGAUUCUUUUUAUCCUUUCAUGGUAGAAAGGAGCUACCAAUGGUGGCUCGCAUAGCCUUGCUUGAUACCAGAUUCACAAAAUACCAGCAUACUUGUAUAGCAAUCGUAGAAACUACUCUAAAUGUUGGAACUGUUUUUGUGACUCUUUUUCCCAAUUUUAACAUGUCUCUACCAGAUCCCCAUUUGCUUGAUGCUCUUAAAGUCCAGGUACAAAUCAUAGGAGCAGGCCAGAUGACAGAUGCUAUUGCUGCAACCCUCCACUAUCAGAUGGUUUAUCGUGUCCAAAAUCAUAUUCUACAUCUCACAAUUCCUGGUGGAGAAGAUGCUCUUUUUAGCCGUAUUAAUGAGAAGAAUUCAGCCUCUUACACCCUUAUGCCAAGACAAAUUUCAAAAUCAGAAUUAAUUCAAUUGUUACCAGACAAUUGGAUUACUGAUUAUGAGUCCCUGCAUUCUCAAGCAAAUGAACCUAUUGAGUUUUGAAACUCAAAAAUCUCUCAGACACAAGAAGGGAGAAUUUCAAUUACUUUCGAUCAUUCCCAUUUAAAACCAUCAAAAAAAUCUUAUCCUACUAUAAUGCUUGCACAGGUUUCCAUGGAGACACUAACUAAAAAAGAAAUAUCUCUUGAAAGAUAUGAUGAAAACUGAGAAAAAGGUUUUGCUCAAGAUAUUAUUGCUCAUUUUACUAAGGAAAGUGAACCAGUAUAUCAUUUUCAAGAUCCUAUUUCUGGACAUAUUUAUUUUGAUAUAUGUACUAAGUGUGAUGACUUUUGGUGGGAACAUCAUUUUGAUGAUGAUUAUUCAUUACCUUCAAAAGGGAAAAAAAAGACAAAGUCAUGUGAGGAAAGACCCUGUGAACCAAAUCUUGAACCACAGGACCCUGAUAUUGACAACUUCAUGUCAGAAAAAAAUGACUUUGAUGGAUAUCAAAUUCCGUCCUCUUGGAUUCCUAAAAAAUCACAAACUCCCAAGCAGAAACUCCAUCCAUACUAUCAGAAGUGUUUGGCGAUCUUGAAAAAGGAAGUCAAGAAAGAAAAGAAAGUAUGGAAACCAUUUACAAAAUGUGUAUUUUAUCACCUUCAUGCUAGUGGCUAGGCUAGUGAUAUGUCUUAAUCCACUGAGCAACCAAUGAGCUAUGUUGAAUGUCAUAUUGUCUACAUUGGUUCAUAACCUACCAAUUGGGCAGGAGUUUGUACAUUUAUUGGGUCAAAAGUGAUGGGCAUUUUUUAAAUGGAUUAAUGUACUAAACCUCCUUGAGACUUUUGCCUUCAGUUGCACUUUAACUUCCCUAAACUCAUUAAAUAGGUACUUUACUUUCCUGCUUGAUGUUUUAGAAUAAAAGUGCCCUUACUAUAUUAUUUUAAUUUUCUCCUUAUUUAUUCAUCCUUUAUUUUUCUUUUUUGAUAUUUUAUUUUUCUUUUUAUUUUUUCACUUCUCGAAUGUCACUAUUUUUUUUUUUACUUUCCUAUUAGUAUUAUUGAUUGUAUGCUUAUUAUAACAUUUUAGUAUUCUUUUAUUUACAAUUUCGUUCUCGUUUUAAUUUACAUAUGUAUUCACUAAUAGGAAAUUCAUGAUUUUAUACUAUAUAACUAUCAUAGUCAAAAGCAUGGAUAACUAGGGAUAGCAAUUUCUAGCACGACCUGAAAACAGGACACGAAACUAAUAUGAAAUUAAUGGGUUUGGAUUGAGAUUUCGCGAGUUCGGAUCAGAAUCGGGUUGAACUCAAUGAACCCGAAAAGAAAACGGGUCGAAUUCGGAUCAACCCGUAGAUGAUCCAAUAUGACCCGAUAACCCGUUUACAAAUUAAAAAUUAUUUAAUAAACAUAAAAAUUAUUUUAUCUAAUUAAACUAAGUUAUUCUUUUUUUCCAAAGACAUUAAUCACUUAAUCCUAAAUAAAUUUAUUUAACUUGUGUGACAUUGAAAUUAUUAUAUUUAGACAAAUAAUGUAUUAUAUUAUUUUUUACUUUUAUACUAUUUUAAUUUAUUUUAUAUUUAAUUUGGGAUAAAACACUUUUACGGUAUUUUAAUUUAUUUUAAAUUUGAUUUGGGAUUAUUUAUUUAAAAUUUUAUUACUUAGUUAUGUAAUUAGUCUGGUGUGAAAUUGAUUUUAUUAGAAAUUACAGUGAUAAAUUAAUAAAUUAAAAUUAAGUUUCAGAUAGACCCGCCAACCCGAAAUUUUCGGGUUCCGGUCAGAUACCCUGACCUGUUUCGGAAUGACGGGUCAGAUUCGGAUCAACGGAUUUCUAUUAUACCCGGAUCUCAACCCGACCCGCCAACUCAAUUUGGACCCAAUUACCACCCCUAAACCAGCAAUUUAACAAUUUAAACAAAUAUUAGCAAACCAGAAUUUUUGAUUAGUUAAUAUUUAAAAGUAUAUACCAAAUGAACAACGUAACUAACAUUCUUCUUUCUAUUUUUAUUUUGAAUAGUUGAUUAAAUAUUAUGUGACUACCAUUUGCUUCUUUGUUAGUUUUCCUUAAGGAGAAUAUAUUUUUAACAUUUAAGAUAUAGCAUACACAACUCACUAUAGACUAGCUUUUGUAUUUCGGAUUAAAGAAACUAUAAAUUCAUAAGAGAUGGAGAAUGGUCCUAAAAUCUCAUAUUCGACUUCCAAACUCUUUGUUUUCAUUUUUUCUUGUAAGGUGUAGAUUCUCCUCUUAAAAAAAAUAAAUUAAAGAGUUUGAGAGUGAAACUAGACCGAUUAGACCCGUUUAUAUUCAUUUUGUUCGAAAGAUCGGAUAUCUGAUCUCACUUUCGGCCCAGGUGGUGAAAGCGCCAAUUCAGACGGUUUAGGUAAGUGACAGGGGAUGAGUAAUGACUGAUGACCUCGUUUGCGUCUGCUUCUCCUUGUCAAGUCUAGCGAGUCCAUGAGAAGUGGAAAUCUAUGUACAUGGCUGGGUUAAAACCUAAAAGCUAUAAAGGGUCCAUCUGCCCAAAGUUUAUUUAAAGACAAAACAUAAACAAUGGCUGUGAAAUAUCUUCACCUGUAACUGUAAGCAAAAGCCAGGAUUUAGUGAUUCAAGCCUUUUACACUAGAAAGCGAAUUGAGGAAUGUGCCAUGUAUACUAAUCUCUCAGCACUAACAACAUCCUUCUUCCUCACAAACUGGACAGAAUGAUUUACAAAGUAAGCAUGCAUCAGACAAGGAUUUUCCAUUUAAAGACACCAGCAGAUCAUAAUUGAAGAAAUAGAGUUAAAGGGAAAAAAGGUAAAGAAAGAACUUCCAGUGAGAACCAAAGGUACUUCUAAGCUUCUGCAAAUUGCAUUGCCUGGGCAAAAAGAAAAGUGGGUAAGGGAAGUUCAUGGGAGGGGUGAGUUUUGUAAUGUUACUGGGAAAAAAUUGCAAAACUUCCACUGAGCAGGUGAGGUCCUAUGGUCAGUUGGAUGCAACUCGGUCUAUCAAUAUGGUCAUCGAUAGCAACCUUCAAUAAGAUUAAUGUCGAAUUCUCCAUCAUUAGUCUCUCAGUUUACAUGCCUUGGAUUAUUUCAGAAGAGGACACAAUCAAAAGCUGCCACCAUCCCAACAAAGUACCCAGCGAAAGCUCCAUAGCUCACAAAAAUUGGCCAGUCUUACAAACAACUUCAAAUCAUAUCAGUGUCAGGGUACAAAGCAUAACAAACUGAACAACAAGCUGCAAACCAAGGCUGAACGACAUCCAACAUUCAGAAUCUAAUUGCCGAGCUCAAACAUACAUGGUCAACUACAUUUACCAAAACCAUUGCAACUAACCUGUCCUAGGAGAUUAUACUUGGAACAGUAGAUCAACACAUCACU
This 63239-nucleotide long non-coding RNA is filed under the name Coffea arabica (coffee). Its description in RNAcentral is "long non-coding RNA (CARA_LNC005011)". The record is from RNAcentral. Lineage: Eukaryota; Viridiplantae; Streptophyta; Magnoliopsida; Gentianales; Rubiaceae.